UUUUUUUUUGUUAAUUAAUUAUACACUGAAUCGUUUACCUCUGAGCUUGUAAAUGGCCCUCUUCACCACUCUCUCGCACCCGCUGCAGCACAUCCUUACUUUAAGCUCCACCGUCUACAAGAAUAUUUAUUUUAAUUACACUCUUGAGGAAAGAAUAAAUAUAAUUACGGUUAAAAAUUUCAAGGAAUCAGCACUGGAUAGGCUGUUGGAUAUUCUAGAUUUGGUUAGUGCGGUGGUUUAUAUUGUUUUAAUUAGUGUAAUGGUGAAGGCUGGCCCAACCAUUAAGACAAGGAUAAGUUGGAAUAUAUAUUGUAGCCUAUGAUAAAGGCUUGGCAAUUGUUCUGUUCGAGUUCGAAAAAUUAAUAUAUGUUGGCUAUUAGUUACGGGUUCCGAUAAUAAUCGCUUUAAUAAAUAACUUUUGAGAUAGUAAAGUGCAGGAUGUAUCCAUACUCUAUCUAUAACGUUCAGAAUUUUGUUUAAACUUGAAGGAUAAAAAGUAACAAAAUUUAUCGAUCAUUCUUCAAAUACUUGAAACUUCAAACAAGCCCCGAGAGAGUCGUAGAUCGCAUAUAUUCGCGCAAGCCGUGAAGAGUCAUGGACCGCACAGCAAAACCUAGGCCGAUAUGUAAAAACAAAAAAACAGACGACGAUGAUAGCGACCGACGAACCAACCUGCAAGGAGAGUGGGCGAGACUUGGUCUUGCCGGCGCCCUUGUGUUUCUUGCUUCGGUUGAUAGGAGCAGAGAUGGAGUGAAGGCCGUGUUCGUCACCCAAGUUAAAGUAACAGUAGCUAAUCGCAGAUAUUAUCGACUUGAAUGCUGUCGCCAACACACUUGAGCCCAUGAAGAAGAAGAAGAAGAAGAAGAAGAAGAAGAAGACAAAGAGAAAGAGCAGUUAUGUUACACGUACGUACGUGCGUAGGUUUAUCUAAUAGAGCUAGCUAGAUACAUAUGAAUAUGAUAUUGCCGAUCGAUCCGUUAAAUACAGUUAAUAAAUAAGGGUAUGGUCGGGGAUUUAUAAACUAACUAUAAAUUGACUACUUGUUGCUUGUCGUGCAUGUAGAGUAUAAUAAUCAGAUAUUAUUUUUUUGUUAUAAUUAUUAUUCUUCCGCGUGCCAUCUGCGUAAGCGCAUUGGUUCCAUUUUCUGCUGCAUGGCCUAGUCAGAUUGUCUCUUAAAUCUACUGACAAAGUUGAUUUUACGUAAUAUUCCCCACCCCCACCAUACCCGCCGCAUGAAUUAAUAUCACCGGCUGCUGGGACGUCGUUUUAAUAUUAACGACAUAUUAUUACACAUGUAUGUACGUGUAUAUAUAUAUAUAUAUAUUAUUCUUAUCUUAUGUAUAAUGUUCGAUCCUGCCUUGCCUUUGUAUAUAAUAUGUGUUCUAGGUAGACGAACUAAUUCUAAUGUUUCCCUAUUGGGGUGUGGCAAAUGGUUUCGCAUCUAUAUAUGCUGCUCCAAUAGGGACUCAUCACCUGUUGCUUAUAUCGCUUUUUGUUGUGGGAAAGCGGAAUCGAGAUGGUCAGAAACCUUGGACAAAAUUUUAAGUUUGAGACGGAUGGUUUGCCGGUUCGGCGAACCACAUUUGCUGUGUGGGUUAAGCUAGCUGAGAAUUAAUAAUAGACCAUGUAUAUUUCCUCAAGAGAGGGGAACAAUAUAUAUUUGUCAUCAUAUUCUGAUGGAAUAUCACAUGAAUGCGUUCUGGUUCAUUAGUUUUGAGCUAGCUAAAUACGUGUAUGAUAAUUAAAAUAAAAUGGACACAACUAAUUAGGUACGAGAUAAAAUAUUUACGUCGAAUAAGGAUGGGAAGGGAAAAUAAGAUAGAUAUCAUGACAUUUGUUAGAUAAGAUGAUGUGGAAGUGGGAUACAAUUUGUUAGAUAGGAUUGUACGAUGUUAAUGAAUUGUGUUUUCCUGUAUCAAUUGGUAUAUAGGAAUUAAAGAGAGUGAUUAGUAUACAAAUUGAGAUAAUAUAUGAGAUUAAAAAUAAAAAGUGAAAUAGAAAUUUAAUAUUUGAAUAAUUGUUGCCUCCGUCGGGAUCGCAAACUGAAAAUGGACGUUGGUGAUGGAUUUACGUUACCAAAAAAAAACUGAGCACACCGAAAGUUUCGGUAUACCAAGUAUAUUGAAGAAUUCACCUGAAUUUAUAUUUCGUUGAUAAUUGACUUUAUAUUUUGUUAAUAGUUAAUUUUUUUAUAUGAUGAAAGACUUUUUUAUAUGAUGAAAGACACCCCUUUGGAUAGUUAAUUUUUUAUAUGACGAAAGACAUCCCCUUGGACAAAUUCUUGCCUCCGGCUUUGACUAGAAGUAGCUCGUGCUAUGACGCAAAAUAUGUUAUGGUGAAGAUUUGAAGUACGUUAAGUAUGAGAAAAUUAUGGGAGAGUAGUAUAGUGGGCACGAAAAUGCGAGUAGAACACAGGCAAGAAAGGGGGUCAUCUAAGGGUUUAUUAAUCGUCUUCCCAAUUGGAGAGAUGUGUUUCCCAAAAGUCAACGGAAGAGCUCUUGAGUGAAACCCAAAUUAGCGAAAACACAAAGUAUAUUCUCUAUAUAUAAAAGUAUAAUAUGAGUCACUAUUGAAUGAAUAGUGUUUGGUUCUCUCGUGAGAGAUUUACUUUGAGUUGAUGAGGGCUUUACUUUGAUUUCACAUAUCGUCAUUUAUGGGUUUUGUGGUAUUUUUCAUUCUUCAAUUGAAAUGGUUUAAAUUGUCUCACGUUUUCAUUUUGUUAAUUACAAAAUUAUUUGUUCUACCUUUUUUGUAACAAACGAAAAGUUCAUUUAUUUUUAUUUAUUUUCUGUAAAUUUCCAUAACAUCCCACGGAUAAUUAUAAUAUGAAAUAAAAGAAUAAAAUGGUCAAAAUAAUGAAAAGUGGGUGAAAUAGAAGAGCAAACAAAUAAAAAAAGAGAAAGUGUAUGAUGAACAAUGGUUGUAAGAAACCUAAUCCUUGUUAUGUAAUUGUAUUCCUCAUUUUACUAUUAAAGUAUAACGAUUUACCGAUGAUUAUAAAUAAUUGUAGUAGUAUAAUUAGUUAUUAAUGUAACGAUUUAACUAGUUAUAAUUAUGACUAGUUAUUAAAAAGUAUAAUUAGUUAUAAAGUUUAAUAACUAAAUACAAACGAUUAUAAAUAAGUAUAAAAAGACGGCUAGACCCUUCAGAGCUCGCCAAUGAUUAUAAUUAAUUAUUAAAUUAUUAAAUUAAUUACAAACGAUUAUAACUAAUUAUUAAAUUAUUAAAUUAAUUACAAACGAGUAUAAAUAAUUAUUAAAUUAUGUAAUUAGUUACAUGCAAUUAUACCGCAUUACAGGUGACCAUAACUAAGUGAGGUGGUUGAAAGUUCGCUGCUUGCUGGAGUGUCGCAGACCCUGUGGUAGCGGCGGCGGCUAAAAAAAUACGAAUGAAAAAGAAUUGCAUAACCUUUACUUAACAGUCCCAUAUAUUUGUUGCCAACAGUCAAUCAGGACGCAUACAUAGAUAAUAGAAACUUAUAUAUUUGAUUAUAAUUUUCUUGUACAAAGUAUUAUUGUACCUUGAAUUAAAAUACUACUAGUACUAUAACAUGCAUUCCAAGUAUAAACCUUAUCCACCUUUGGCCUGACUGAUUAAGUUAGUACCAAACUUUUUAUAAUUCGUUACACAAAUAUGUACCCAUCGUUUAUAUGGAAAACUAUGUAUCGUGAAGAUACAAUGUGUCGAUUAUUUAUUACGAAACCGAUGAAAGGAACACAGUGGUGUCAUUUGGUUGCAUGGACGCAUAUUCGAUUUAAUAAAUCUGGCUAGCUAGCUAGUAGUAGUCGUAGUAGUAGUAGUAGUAGUGCAUGAAGAAUAUUAAUUUGAUGGUUCGUCCCUUCAUUAUCUUGCCUCUCUAACCUGUUCAGUUCUGAUUCGAUCCUUCGGUAUUCUAUUUUAUUAAUACACUGAAUGGAAUUGUGUAACAUAAUUGGGGAAAGAAGAAAAUGUUAACAAAGUAAAAAACAAGUUGGAAAAACAAAAGAGAAGAUCAUGGGUAUAAGGAAUGUGCACAAACACAGAGAGAGAGAGCAGUGGUUUUGUUCUUUAUAGUUUCAGAAUAUAUACCCACCCACCUUAUCUCUUCUCUGCGAUAUCUAUGGCGGUUCUAUUAUCUAUUCAAAGGUGGACGGGUGGCUGUAGAACAUAAGCUUUCAUGACUGGUUAUCAUGUACCUACACAUACGUCACCUUCAUAAAUCUCAGGAAUGGAAUAUAUCCAUGUUACGUUGUUUCAGUCAUUUCAACAAGUCUUGUAACAUUCUUCGUCUACUUUUCUGUUUCUCUAUCUUCAUAAAAGAGGCACUCAACCCUCGACCACAACCCAACUAGACCAUUGCAAUCGGGGCGUAAAGGAUUCAGAACGGACAGGAACAAGACCCCGUUUCCAAAAUCAAAACACUUGUCACAAAACAUUUCCAACUAAAAAUUGAAAACAGACCAAAGCAGUUGAAGCUUCAAAGGGGUGAAGAACAUAGAAGCGUUAGUUAGAAAGUCUACCCUCUGUCGCUUCUGUUAUGUCGAAACUAAAUUAUAUACUAGGUACUGCAUCUAAAAGCCCCACUUAACUAUACAAACGACACUCUGUUUUUCCCCCACUGAUACAUAAAGAGAGUACGAGACUGCCUUCUUGACUAUGUGCCUAACGUUAACAAACACAUUAUAGAAACAUGCGUUUACAACCCCAUACUUACCCAUCACGACCACAGGCAUCUGCAUAUUCCAACCAUACCGGCCACCAGAAACACAACUCCUGAUAAACCAAUCACCCAUCUUGACCUAAUAGCAGAACCAUUCUUCUCAUAACUUUGACAAAUCGAACCUCCAUGUUCGCUUUUAUCAUUCCCUUUUAACCUCAGCCUGAUGUUCUGCUUGACGACCGGGCCUUCUUUCAUCUGAUCAUCACGAAUUGCCUCAUCGCCUUCUUUACCGUCUUGGCCCUGAAAUCGACAUUUUCAGUGACUUGUAAAAAGUAUUGUCUUUUAUAGUUUUAGUACGAAGAAGGCAUACUAUAGGGAGCAUCGAAAGGUACAGGCCAACAAACUUACCUCGGUUAGAGUUGAUUGCACUUCAUCUUCAUCCUCUACGCAGCUUGUGUCUCCUAGUCUUGAUUGUAACCGUAGCCUCCUUGCAGCAGUACCUUGACCAACAAAGUUGUCUGAAGCUCGUGCUCGAGGUUGCCGUGUUCUAAUCUUGAUUCCAGUUCCGCCAUCAUUGUCAAUGCUUACAGAGUUCUCCACGGGGUGGGACAUUCCAAAGGAUGUGUUUGUUGCAUAGUUGGCAGGAUGGGUUGCUUGCAUAACAAAACUAUUUCUGUUGUCAUUGAUAUUUCUGCUUCCAGCUUCUGCGUUAAGGAAUCUUGUCUGUGCAAAAGAAGACCGAGAAGCUGAUUCCAUCUGCAACAGCUAAUGCCAAUCAGAAGUUUCAUACUGUUAACCUCAUCAACCGCCGUAGAGGAUACAAGCUGACGAGAAAGCAUAAUAGUUUGUAACUUGAAGUAGUAGUUAAAAGAUAAAUAAUAAUAAUAAUAAUGGAUAAAAUAAUCUAAUUAGCAGAGUCGGUUUGUCUUCUGCGGUCUGCCCGAAGAUAAGUCCUAUGAGAUGCAAACGGCAAACCAUACUAGUUGUCAAAGCUAUAAUCUACCAUAACUAGACAUGAAGACCCAAGCCUCUGAUAUCAUAUGCAAGGCAAAUCCUACGUAACCAAAUACAAACAUACUGGUCUCCUAGUAUGAGUUAUCAUGAACAAGAAUCUCUUUACCGGAAGUUUUAUCUUUUACGACUGUUCAAGUCAAUUUUCACAUAUAACUGUUCUUUAUAUCAUGCGAAAAGAAAAUUAAUUUUGAUCCACCAUAAGAUAAAACGCUAAGCCUCAGAUUCAAAUAAAUGAUGGGCGAUUAUCCUGCGAUAACAGAUAGUUUACAUUCUUGUCUCCUAGUGUAAAACAUUUUGUGUUUUACCUGUGCUUGAGCCAUUUUGGCAUCCAUAUUGUUGUGUAGUUCCCAGUUUCUUACAUGGAAACUUUCUGGAAGUAAACCAAGAUUUUUGUCACUGGAGGCUUCUUCAAAAGACAAAUCAUCGUUAUGGAACACCUCAUCCAACAGCUCUGUGAGGGAUACAUCUUGUUCACUUGUGCCAUCCUGGAAUUGGAAUCCAUUAAGGUCAUUACCAAAGUCAUUGUCAUAAUGAGAGUCGAAAUUUAGCCCCAGAUCUCCAUAAGGGUGCGGCUGCAUUGGGGAGAACAUUUUGUAAUCAACUUCACCAGAUGUGAACUCAUAAGGAUGGGAACUCCCAUCCACCAGUGCAUUUGCCUAGAACACAAUGUACAAAGACAAAGGCAUUCAAAAACAGUUAGUAACUUGGACAGUAAAAGGAAACAUAUAGAAACUACAAACUGAAAGCAUACAGAAACCAAAAAAAGUCGAAAACUUCACCUCUUCAACAGUCAAUUCCGUGACAUGAUCCUCCACAUCUGAAUUCAUAUGGCUAUUGCAGCUGCUAUCGGCAGGAACCAAAGCAGUAGUAGGCGUCAUGCAGUCUAACAAAGUAUCCGAUGGUUUUCCACCUCGCAUACUGGAUGUAGCAGUCUCCUGAACUAAAUCUGACGUUGCUUCAUCAGGGGAGGACUUGGUAGUGGUUGGAGAGUAACCGGUUUGCUCAACUUCAUCAUACUUCACCACAUCAACCUUCUCCUCCGGCUUCCGGAACAACCGAAAGAGGACAAACGGAGCCUGACAAUACAAGGACAAAGAAAGGAACAUUUAGAAACAAUAUAUCAACAGACUAGUACGUAGCCCAUGGUAAAAAGACCAACCUGGCCUGGUCCAGUGCCAUCAAGAUCUUCGAGGGUAGGACGAUACUCGUGCAUAAUCCAGUUACUUCGCUCACCCUUGGGAGCACGACCUCUGUAGAAGACCAACGUCUUCUUCAUGCCGAUAGAAACAGGAGUAGAACCAGGCCUCCUGGACCUAAUGGUACGGUCUUUGCCAGUAGCUUUCCAGUAUCCAGCUUCAGUAGCCCUGUUAGACCUAUGACCAUUAGGGUACUUUCGGUCACGAGGGCAGAAGAAGAACCACUCCGGAUCAUCAUUCUUGAUCACGGAUAGACCUACAAUGAAUUGGUGAAACGAUAAUAUACCUAUAGAGUGAUGCAGUAGUGCGCAGAAACUUCAAAAUUGGAGCAAGUAAUAUAGUCAAACGGAAUCGAAUCAGUAGAGGAAAUCCAGAAAUUAUUCGCAUCCCCAGGAAUGAGGUAAAGAGCGGAAUCACUUACUCAAUCUUUCACAUCGAAAUAAUAAAAAUAAUAAUAAGUAGAAAGGCAAAGGGAGGAACGAAGAAACGAACCAGGAAGAUCCCAAGGCUCCCAUUUGCAGACAUCGAUUUCAGGGAUGACCUCGACCUCGGAAUCGCGGCCGUUGAUCUUCAACCUGAGGUAGUGAUUGAUGAGUUCCUCGUCAGUAGGCCUGAAUCUGAAGCCCAGAGGCAGCGAUUGCAUCGAUAUCACAGCCAUUUUUCUUCGUUUUAUUUUUGCUAGUGAACCUAGAAACCUCCAAUUCUGCGAUUAUUGGAGCUGCUUUAUGGAAAGGGUACGGUACGCUAGGUUUACAGACACCGGAAUUGAAUUGGGUAUGGAGGUUAGGAUUGACUGGAAGCAGGAAACAUGGAGGGGAAUCGGAGGAGCCGCACAAGGGAAAGUAAGUGAGGGAAGAAGGUGUCGCUUUUGUCAACUCUAGCGGCCAACUUUAGUUAACAGAGAGUCUUACUGAUUAAGUUAAGGUUUUUAGACUCAGACUGUCUCUCCCUCUCUCCGUGGCCAUAUCUGCUUCUACGCGGUAAUAUUUGCCGCAUGUCAAUAAUAGCAUUUUUUUUGGUUGAUUUAUGGGGUUAAAUACUGAAAUGGUCCCAUAUAUUUAGGUGGGUUACCGGUAACUAUUAAAGGUUAUUUUUUUAUGUGUUAUGAUGUGAUCUGAUGGUUGCAAAAAUUUUGAACAAAUUUGUCACAUAUGCACUACCACGUCAGAUUAAUGUUUUUUUUGAAAAGUGGCAAGCUACCUUGUAGGUAAUUUUUUUAUGUUCUGUGACAUUCAUUGUUGUGGCUAGUUCGAGAUUUCAAGAAGAAACUUUUCGUAAGGAGAGGGAUUGUAACACCCCACUUUUGGUUUACUAGUUUAAUUUGGUUGAUAAUGAGUUGAUUGAGGAAUCAUAUAGAGUUAAGAAGAGUAGACAUUAAUCUUAUAAAACUUAGGCCGUUGGAUGGUAAUUGUGUUUUUUUAUUAUUAUUGGUGGAAGAUGAGUUAUUGUAUAAAAUGGUGGUGUGAAGUAAGUUGAAAUGUUUUACUGAUUACUUUUUUAUUUGAUACUGCAUACAAUUUAACCAAUAUAAAAUUAUGAUUGAACCGUCAAACCUCCUAUCCCUAAUAUAUCAUUGAAAACACCGUUAUUACCACAUUUACGAACAAUAUUGUUUCUUAAAUGUAUUUCAGAAGGAACUAAAUUCCGGACCAGAAAAUGUAACUUGAUAAGAAAGGGUUGAUAAUCUUUGAACAAAAUUGUCAUUAGCCAACCACGUAGUUUGUUCUAUAUAGAGGAGCACACAACGUUGUUGUUUAUACACCCUGGCUAGUACCAACUGACUUGUGCACUGUGAAGGACCUGGCAGCUUGGAGUAAGGCGUGCUGCCCCUCCACAGGGUUUCCUCACCAUUCUAUUCAACGUCAUAAGACUGAGAGUUCCCUGACACAUACUCUUACUAAGAGUAUAUAUUGCGAUAGGUCAUUUAUUUGCGAAAGGUCACUCAUGACAUCCAUGGACAUAUUUGUCAGGGAAACAAAGGUACUUUUUUCUGCUUAUCGGCGACUAGUGCUGAAGCGAGGGCUAUUCUCAAAACUACAAGGACAACAGUUUUAUGUUCAAAUCCCACCACAAUUUUCUCGUAUUGCAUUAAUAUCAUCAAUAAAGUCCUUGACAAUCGAAGUCUCCCUUGGCCGUGGGAUUGAUAUGCCACCCUUGGGAUGAUAUUUCAACUUACUGAUAAUGCUCCUAGGAUCAAAUACGCUUUCACUACUCGGGAGCUCAGUAGGAACUAGCUAGAGCUCUGUGAGUGGCUUCAUCUACUAGCUAGAGCUCAUGCUAUCCAUCGUACUUGAGUUUUUUUCCUUGACUAUAUUGACUUGUUUAUUUCGGAUGUAACAGUAAUAAAAAAAGGGCUAGUACCAAGUGAGCCAUUUCUGGCAAGAUAUGCCGAUGUGGAUGUCAAGAGCAAGAAUUUAGAGCUCAUUCAAUGUCAACCUUAUAUACUUCGGAAAUUUGCUGGCCUGCGUCUCUGUGAAUGAUCUCCAUGGCAUCCACUUUUGAGUGGUAAAGCCUGCAAAAUUACAAAUCUUGUACGUACUACUCCAAAAUAAUGGGCUGAGUUGCAGUACACAAUUUGGACUUAGACGGUUAAGACCUAAUCUUGAUUUCCUUGAAGAUAUUUUUACUACUAGAAAGAUUGGUGAGAUGUCAAGCUUGCUACGAAACCACACAACUUGGAAUCAAACGUCUUGCAUGCAUCAGCAAAUACUUAAUUAGUGAAGGUAGGAAGAAAAUGAUUCCUGGAACACCAGGGCCUAACAACUUUCAUGAAUAAUAAACAAACAACAUCUACCAAGCGACUAAUUCGACACUGAAGACUGGAUGGCACCAGCUGUUCACAUUAGGAACAACCAAACAACAUUGCCUAAAUAUCACCCUGCAUGUCUUCUUUUUAAAAGUAUUGGAACAACCUUCCUGCAUUACAGAAAGAUGAGUAAAGAGGAAAAAAGAAAAGACUAACUGGUCACUGUAGAAAGGCUGAAGUGAUGAAUAAAUUUCACCAUCUUAAACUGGCAAACUUAUCAUCUUAUCUCAACAAUUAUACAUGCUUAUCAUCUUAUCUCAACAGGCCAAAAGCUGUGCAUUCAACCAAUGAACUGUGGUCCUCGACUCAAAACAUAAACCAAAUCAAAAGAAAAAAGAUUGUAUGGUAAGAUCCUCUAACCAAUAUAUACACUGUGAUGAUAAGGUUGUAACACUCUAUCCUCCUCCUCCUCCUGCUGCUGCUGCUGUUCCUUUGGUUGUGUUCAACUCCGUACAGCUUAAGUUAAACUAUAAUGCGGGAUGAUACCCGAGAUUAACAUUCGCAUCCACCCGGUGAACUCCUCUCCUCGAACUCCAUUCGUUGCAGAACUCCAGAGCCAACCUCAGUGCAGUUCCUAGUCCAAUCACAACGAUCACACCUGUAUAACCCAUGUUUAGUCUCGAUACCACGAUUCUCGUUCCAACCUCAUCAAGUUCCAAAUCAGCAACCAUAAACAUACUUAUUACUUACCGAUAAUUAUGUUGACUGGUAGAGCGGAAAUCCCCAGGGUGAUUGAGAUCAACACGUCCAACAAGAGUCCCCCGAUCAGGAUCGAGAAUGCCACCCAAAGAGGACUAGAACAACCCUGUUUCAAACAGGAUCGUAUAAGAGAUAAGCACCAUUGGUGAACAAGAACAAAUGAAAGUAGAGACCUACAACUUACCCUUUGCUGGUCUUGAGGUCUGUAUGUCGGAUCAAGCCUCCACACCCAGUAGUUUGUCUGAUACAAAAAAGGAAACAAUCUCAGCUUUUUUUUUCCUAACAUAGGAUUCUAAACAACUUGAACACUCAAUACAGCUGCUGACGCAUUAAGCAGAUUGGUUGUUCUAACAACUGACUAAACCUAAUGACAAUCACACUUCUGACACAAACUAAUCAAAACUUUCAACUUUGUGCCUAGUUUCAACCCCAUAGUAACUUUGGAAAAAGUAUUACGCCUAAAAAAGACAAACCAGCACCAAGUAAAUGCAACAUUACAUCAUCAGUUUCCCACUUCAUACCCAAGGAAAAACAAAAAGAUCACGCCUUUAUUUUGUUGGCAAAGCAUCGAAUACCUACACUUGGUUGAGAUUCCGGAGGAGACACAUUUACAGCGAUAUCUCUGCAAGAGGAAGAAAAGGGGAAACAAUAAUUCAAAAUUGAGUUGACUUCAAUCCAGGAAAUGGAGAGAGUUCAGUCAUAGAGAGUUGACUUACUGGCAUAUCUCACACUUAUUUGACCCUCUAGUCAAGAACCAAGCAUCUAUACAGGAGCGGUGGGAUUUGGCAAGACCACCUUUGCAUUUGCACCCAAGAUCUAUCAGCACUUCUUCUUUGUCCUGCUGACAUACUCUACAAGGACAGAAAAUCGGAAAAGAACAUUGUUAAGGAAUAAGACUUUUAUCAUUAACAUAGCAGAAAGGUUACCUGCAGUUGUCAUGAGAACUCGGAACCCUUGAGAGAGAUGGCUUAGUGGGUGAAGCAGGAGCUGGUAAAUUGGAAGGAAGGGGAGGAGAAUUGUCAUUAGCAACAACAACAACCACACAAGGCACAGAAGUGGCAGUGGAGGCAUGAUCUUCUUCUUCUUUGGCGGCGGCGACUUGAAGGUGGUCAACAUGCUGCUGCUUCUCCAAGUCAAGGUCUUCUUGAGUAGGAUGUAUAGACAAAUUAUUUUCAUGAGAGGGAUUCCCAUCGCCAACCUUAUUAGGCUCAUGCAUCUGCAUCUGACCACCUAUCAUACAAUAAAAACAACAACAAAGGACGCUUCAGAAACAAUCAAUCAGCAAAGAACAAAUAUUUCCUAGCAUCCAAUUCAAACGGAAAUGCUAAAAGUUCUAAACGCGGAAUUUAAGUUUGUGCACAAUCUGUUCUUUUUCAUUUAUCUACUACCUCGUUGUAUGGAAUCGAGCAACUGGGGUUCGUGCGUUUCAGAUCACCCAACACAGAGUCAGCAAAAUUGAGAAGCAAUAGAUGAUUAAAAAAACACAAGCAGUAGAUCACUGAAGGAGACCCAGUGACCCAGAAACGGAAGAAGAAAAAGGAACCAGCUUUCCACCUACCAACGAACCACCACAAAUCACAUAGGAAGAAGAAAAAGUAAAGAGGAAAAAAAAGGAGAAAGGGAAUUAAGGGAAAGCGUAACCUGGAGAAAGGAGAUAUAAUUUUGGGUAAGUGAGAGUUGCAAAAUGGAGGGAGAGACAGUGAGAGAUUUUUUGUAUUGCUGUGGGAGGGGAUAAUAAUAGCUGCAGAAGGUCGGCAGUUGAUGUUAGUAGUAAUUGUCUGCCUGACCGUGGACUGUGGAGGAUGGAUUGGAUGACGAUGGAUUGAUUUAUUUUCGUGAUUAGAACCAAAUUUUUAAAUCGGUUACAAAAUUGAGAAAAUUAAGUAUUUUUUUUGAUAAAUUUAUAAGGAAAUGUAAUAGCCCGAUUAAUUUUAUUAAUGUUGAUGCUAUCGGUUAUAAGGAGGUGUAAAUCCAUAAAUUAGGCCACAAAGAAAGAUAGUCGUCAUCAGGGUGAUGAGUCAAAUAAUCUUCGAAUUCUCCUGACAAGACUAAUUAAGACGCAAAACUCAACCGAUAUUACAGACACGACCUAACCAGACAUAGAACAUGAGACCCCUAACUAAGUAGACUCGAAAAACAAAACAAAUAAAAAAACACUGCAGAGUUCGAAAUAGAAAAAACGACCAGAUCGAAAUACCACUAGACCAGGCAAUGUCGUUGUCCGCGCGAGUUGCCAAGGCUCCGCGGGGCUGAUCCCGUUCACAUCGAUGGGUAGGCCGCCGAUGGCUGGCCUACCUGUGCGUCACCCGCUCCGUGCAUAGUGAGCUUUUCGACUUGCUGCGUCAUCGUUGAUGUUGUAACAACAGAUGUUGCUAUUGUCGUCGGGGGGGGGGGGGGGGUGGGGGGGGGGGGGGGGGGGGGGGGGUUUUGGAUAAUGGCCGGUGCUAGAUGAUUUGGUGGCGGCAGCAACAGUGGAUUCAUGGUCGGGAUUUGGUUUGUGCGGGAAGACAUGGGUUGAGCUCUCUUUCGAGAGAAAGACAAACUUCAACAACUAUCUAUAAACUACUGAGGCAAUCGAGUAAUGUGGAAUUAAGAUCAAAGAUGAAAACUUGAAGGCGGGCUAAGGAACUUGCGACGGCGCUGUAGUGGUUAUAUCGAGAGGAUUUUUUUGGAUUUAGUUAUUGCUAUCGUAAGUAAACAUAAAUAAAAUUUAUAUCAGUAACAAAAUAUUAUUACUUCAAAAAAGAAAUACAUAGUUAAUUAAUUUUGUUUAUGUAGGAACAUAUUAAAUUUUUUUUUAAAAUAAUUAAUUUGAUUAAUUUAAAAGUACAAUUAAUUAGAGGUGUCAUCUAGUAGCUAGUUUUCAGUGUUUUUUUCAUUAUUAUAUUUUCGCGUGAGUUGUUGUCUUUCCCUUGUCGUUGCCCGUUGUCCGUGAGCAAGAGCGAGGUUGCCAUAUUUGUGGUGACCCGCACUCCAUAAGUUAUUUUAUUCGACGAAGAAUUUUUGAUGUUAUGACUUAUUGUUAGGUUUUCUUUGUGGUUGGUCUUCUUGAAAAUAAUGUUAAUCCAAUAGUGCCAGUCAUGAAAGUGGAAUCGGCUCCACAAGAGUCUUAUGCAUAUAUUGGUGGUUUAGAUGCUCAUGUACAAGAAAUCAAAAAAUCAGCUGAGCUUCUUUUCACUCUCUGGAAUGAAUAUAUCAAUAUUAAACCACCAAGUGGUAUCAUUUUGUAUGGAGAGCAUGGGAUUAGCAAGAUAUUGCUUGCAAAGGUAUGAGUUCAACCAUCAUUCGUAUUUGAUCUCUGCUUCAAUGUUUCUCUGUUGUGGCGGUAAAAAAUUAUGUUCAUCUCCUUUUAGAUAUCAUUUUAGGAAAUUAACAACUGUUGUCAUUGUUUGACAUGAAUUUAAAACUUUCCAAAAGCUAACUGUAGAUUCCAUAAUAUCAUUGUUAGGCAAGAAAUUUUGUCCAGGGUUUCAGAUGUUAUGCUAGAUUUUUGCAGUUUGUUCCCUCUUCAUCUUUAUUUGAAAAAUUCCAACAAGCUUGCCCUCUUAUUGUUCCGGCAGGCUGUGGCACAUUCAACUGCAACUUUCUUACGAGUUGUCGGCAAUGGAUUGAUCUACAAGUACUUGGGAUGGACCAAAGUUGGUGCGAGAACUCUUCCGAGUGGCAAACAGUCUCUCUCCAUCAAUUGUCUAAAACAAAGAUAGGAACACAUGAUACAUAUUCAGGUUUGGUUAUUAUUAGUGGUAAUACUUCUCUAUCUCGCUUACUAUCACUUGCAUACAUUAUUCCUCUCUUAAACAUCCUCUUAUUAACUUCCUCCAUACGCUUUGUGAAGAAACGUCCGAAACACUUUAAAUCAACAGCUUAACAAUCAACUCGGUUCUCCGGUCCCAACCAAUUAUUGAACUGCCAUUAAUCUCACUAGGCGAAACACAACAUGUUGUGUGUCCCCCACAUACAUAGAUACGCUAAACAACAAUGAUAGCAUCUCCAUUUCUUAAACAAAAUCCACCAACUCUUUAUAUCAUGCCAAAUCAUAAAUCUAGUCUAAUGUGACAUUUUGAAAAGAAAUAUAGUCAUGACAAUUGCAUGUAAUGUAUUAAUGUAGAUGCAAAAUAGGUAACUAUGUAUGUUCACAAGGGUAAUAUGCCUUGGGAUUCUAGAAAUCGCUGAGGUAUUAGUAGUUCUACGUAACUGUCACCCAAGCGUUAAAUCGAUUGUGUAUGCUUUACGUACUAUAUAGUAGUACCGGUGCUCAGGAUACCAGAGCGUUGAGACCAUGUUUCAGAAAUCAGAAGCUAAGACACAAGUGAUGCCAAUGCAGAAGUGAUCCCUUUCUCCUCGCCUAGGCAAGAAAAAGCAGAAAGAAGAGAAUAUAUCCCAUUCAUUUCAUUACAAGUUAACUUAUUCCCUACGCCUCCCCUGCUCCUCUGCUCAAUAUUUCUUCUUAUUAAAGGCCAUUACCCUCAUAACACAUUGCCUAAACUUCCUUUGCUCCACCAUUAUCCCUUAAAUCAUGUUUCCAGGAGCAAACAAGUCGAGCUCGGGUCCCCAUCCCGACCACCAACCUAAGCUUCUCGAUCGCCACGUAAGAGACAUGGUCAAUACCAUCACCCAACGAGUCUCCGGCAUCCCAACUAGUGGUGGUAGCCAUUCAGCCGCGGCCACUACCACCACCACUGACGAUGAUGAACUGCAACAACACGGUGUGAGCGUCAUCACCCUCGCUGGAACCAACACGGGUGCCACAAUGCGCGGUGAAUUUGACCGCGACUCGCUCCAGCCUUCCAAACGAGGGCUAAUAGGACGCAAGAGCAACAAGAGCAGCGAUAUGGAGGAUGAAGAAGAAGAGGAGGAGGAUGAUGCUAAUGUUGGGACCUACGUCAACAGCAACUUCCAAGCAGUGAAUAACUCUAUCAUGCUGGACAGCAAGUACAGCACCAACGACCCUGGCGUCCACUUGGAAAUCUCCGACCACCACUGCAGAGAAGGCAAACUCGACGCGAGGGGAAAGAAGAACAAUGUUGUCGACGACCACGGGCUUUCGAAAUCUCGUGGUCUUCGUCAACGUCCUUUGCCCCACUCCGUCUCGGAGCAUGACGCAUCCACCUCCGAGUAAUCACACAAUAAGAAACCCUCCGUAAACUACAAUCUUUUGCUACCACUAAUCACCAGUCUAUAUAUUUAUGAAGAAUGAAUAAACUCAUGCUGCCUAUUAAACCGUCUGUCCAUUUAUGUAUUGCUUGAUUUUGCUGCUGCUGCUACAUUAUAAUACAUGAAUCUCACUUCAUUUCAUUUUAUGAUUUGGGUUGAAAGUGAUUUCGAAUAGCAAUUUGAAAUAGGAGGGAUAUUAAAUAUGCAACUGAUUUCGUAAAUGGCUCGUUUAUUUAGUGUAACCUCAACAUAGCAAUUUAGUCAUUUCCUACCCAAAUCACUUACUAAUUUGACAUCAAAUUGAUUUAAAAAUCACCUCCCAAAUCAUUCCAAAUCACUUGGGGACUACAGGAUGAUCACAAAUCCCACUUUAUUUUUAUAUACAAAACCAAAUCACCCAAGACCACAAAAUCUAUCUCCAGAUUCUAGAAACAAAAGACCCCUUAGUUGUAUAUAUACUAAUUUUUUUAUCAAUUAUAUAUAUACUAGAUCUUGCCCGACCGGUUGGCCGAAAGUCGAACGAAUUAAAACACCAUCUGUUUAAAAAAUUCUAUAAGAAAGACAUAGUCAUAUCAUAAGUAUUGUACAUCCUAAUUAAUGUGCUUUAGACAGAAUUCUAAACAAUGAGUAGCUCGCGCAUUGUCGCGGGUUUAGGCACAUUAGCUGGUAGAUCCUUCAGGAUCUUAAUGUGAUUUUAUAAAUGUAAGAAUCAUGUGCAAUUUGAAUGAUAAUGUUAACUAUUGUUAUGGUUACUUGGCCAAACCAGAAUGAGUGAAACAAAGUAAAAUUGGUAGAAUAAAAUGGGUGAAACAAAGUAAUAUUGGUACAGUACUUUUAGGGUGUGUGUAGAUACAAAACUUGUUACAUACGUGUACGGGUAAGAUGUGGAUAGUAAAGUAUUAUCUGUUAACCCGGAAUAGAAAUUUAAACGUUCAAUUACAAUAUUAUUUGAUUAAGUCAUGANNNNNNNNNNNNNNNNNNNNNNNNNNNNNNNNNNNNNNNNNNNNNNNNNNNNNNNNNNNNNNNNNNNNNNNNNNNNNNNNNNNNNNNNNNNNNNNNNNNNNNNNNNNNNNNNNNNNNNNNNNNNNNNNNNNNNNNNNNNNNNNNNNNNNNNNNNNNNNNNNNNNNNNNNNNNNNNNNNNNNNNNNNNNNNNNNNNNNNNNNNNNNNNNNNNNNNNNNNNNNNNNNNNNNNNNNNNNNNNNNNNNNNNNNNNNNNNNNNNNNNNNNNNNNNNNNNNNNNNNNNNNNNNNNNNNNNNNNNNNNNNNNNNNNNNNNNNNNNNNNNNNNNNNNNNNNNNNNNNNNNNNNNNNNNNNNNNNNNNNNNNNNNNNNNNNNNNNNNNNNNNNNNNNNNNNNNNNNNNNNNNNNNNNNNNNNNNNNNNNNNNNNNNNNNNNNNNNNNNNNNNNNNNNNNNNNNNNNNNNNNNNNNNNNNNNNNNNNNNNNNNNNNNNNNNNNNNNNNNNNNNNNNNNNNNNNNNNNNNNNNNNNNNNNNNNNNNNNNNNNNNNNNNNNNNNNNNNNNNNNNNNNNNNNNNNNNNNNNNNNNNNNNNNNNNNNNNNNNNNNNNNNNNNNNNNNNNNNNNNNNNNNNNNNNNNNNNNNNNNNNNNNNNNNNNNNNNNNNNNNNNNNNNNNNNNNNNNNNNNNNNNNNNNNNNNNNNNNNNNNNNNNNNNNNNNNNNNNNNNNNNNNNNNNNNNNNNNNNNNNNNNNNNNNNNNNNNNNNNNNNNNNNNNNNNNNNNNNNNNNNNNNNNNNNNNNNNNNNNNNNNNNNNNNNNNNNNNNNNNNNNNNNNNNNNNNNNNNNNNNNNNNNNNNNNNNNNNNNNNNNNNNNNNNNNNNNNNNNNNNNNNNNNNNNNNNNNNNNNNNNNNNNNNNNNNNNNNNNNNNNNNNNNNNNNNNNNNNNNNNNNNNNNNNNNNNNNNNNNNNNNNNNNNNNNNNNNNNNNNNNNNNNNNNNNNNNNNNNNNNNNNNNNNNNNNNNNNNNNNNNNNNNNNNNNNNNNNNNNNNNNNNNNNNNNNNNNNNNNNNNNNNNNNNNNNNNNNNNNNNNAUCUUUAAUCAAAUUAUAUAACUGUAUCAUUUGAUUAUAUCAUAUAUAAAAAUUCAUAAAAAUAAAAUAAUUAAACAUAAACAAUAUGAUUGAAUAUAAUUGAAUUUUUAUUGCGUAGUGUAUCUCCGAGUAAUGUUUACCGAUUUGGUUAUACUCUGCAUAAUUUUCAAUAUUAAUAUCAAAAAUAAAAUAAGCAUAUCAAAAUUAAUGCCGUUGGAUUCAAAAUAUUAUAAUAAAUAAUAUUUGUGAAAAUAACAACAUAUUUUAAAUAAUACAUAAAAAUUUAUGUAAGAAAAAUAAAAUUGAGGGGAAAAAAUAUAUGAAAGUUAUGAGAGAAAAAUAUAAUUGAUAGGAUAGAAAAAAAAUAGAGCCAAUCAAAUUUAAUGAAAGCAUAACAUGUCAAAUAAUUUCAACUAUAUUCCUAUAUAUAUUACUAUCUAUAUAUCGUAUUCAAUUCACUUCACAACAGCGGGGAACAGCAGGUAUUUGGAACACAAAUCAAAACCCACUAUGUUCGACAACAAAAAUCCAAAGCAGAAUAGGAAAGAUAAAACAAACACAGAUGGAAUUACAAGGUCUUGUGAUUAUAAACACAUGGAUUUUUCUCUAGUAGUAGUUAACAUUUGCAGGUCGUCGAAAAGGCAAAGUUACAAUCAAUCUUCUUCCUCUUGCUCUUGCUCUUCCUCGAGAAGCUUGUAGCUGCUGAAAUGCUUAACCCGGAACUUCCAUUCUCCUUUCACUGCAUCGUACGAGACAAACUCGGCAUCUUGCUCUUCUGUCUUCUUCUUCAGAGUUUCCUUGUACCUCUCCACCCUCUUCCCUUCUGUAAAUUCCUUCUUGGUCUUUUUAUCAACGCACUUGAUGUUGAGAAGAGUUACCUCAGCAGGCUUAUUGAGACCUUGUCCAAUCGGGGGUUUCUCGUGAUGGUCAUCCAUAUAGACGAUCACUUCCCGGGUGUUGAAAUGAACCACAGAAUCCAGGUCAAGCCUUCUCACAUCUGUCUCAUCCAAAAACUUGAUGCUUCCAAACCCUCGUCGUCCAACCACAAAGUCCUUCACACGCCGGCAAAAUCCGGGUUCUGCCCUUUCCUUGGCCGCCAGUUCUUGAAUCCGGGGCUCUGUAUAGUAAUCCGCACGACGUAGCUUUGGCAUUAGUGCCUCAAUGUCUGCCCCAUGCUCGUAAACAAUUGCCGCUUCUCCAGCUCUGUGACCACUAAAUCUCAUGUACGAUUCAUCUUUCUGACUGGAAUGAUCUCCGUGAACUCCGUUGUUGAGCUUCUGGCCCUGUUUCACUUCCUUGCUGCCAAUACCAUUUUCAGCCGGGUUCUCUGCAUCAAAUAGAAAUGAACAUCAUUUUACUACAUGAAAUCAGGAACAUGUAUUUCAAUACAAGAUCAAAACAAUCAAUCAAAGAAUGUAAGACCAUUUGAUUCCCCAUCAAACAGCAUUUCAUCCAAAAACAUAAAUCAUAGAUCUUUAUCAUCAUCGGGGAUUUGCUCAAGUAGAAAGAGGUAAAAUACCACGAAAGAACCUUACCAAAAAAAUCAAAUGACAAGGGAGCACAUGAACUAAGAAGAAAGAAAUAAACAGAGAUAAAGAAUAUGUUCUUACUAGCUUUGCCGUUGGGCUUGGUACCAUUUACGGAAGGAACACCCUCUCCAUUCAUCGCUUCUAAGACUUUCCCUGGAUAUGGAUAUUUGUCAGACUAUAAUGGACAGAAAACACAAGAACCGACAGAGACUCGGAGUAGAAUCAUAAAUUACAAUGUACAAAGUAAACAUUUCAAUUCUGGUGUCCACGAGAGGAAGAGAGGAGGGAGGAGUCAGAAACUUGCCAUUCUGAUUUACAUCCUUAAUAGGAGAUCCUUUGUCUGCAUUAGCUCUUAACGGCCACUGGUCAACAGGGUGAAUCACUAGAGCUCUUGGGUUCUCCCUGGGAACGAAGAGAGCAUCUGCUUUUGGCGUGCUUGGUGAUUCUUCCUCAUCGCUGAAAAAUGGUACCUGAAAGUAGUCGUUUAUACCAAGAAAAUGAGUUGACAAAAAUUUGAAAAUCCUCGCAAAUGGAAUUAAUCUGAGGAUGCGCAAGUUCCAGCUUUUUUUUGUAGCACAAAUUACCUUGGGACCAUCAUGUUUGGGGUAAUAUUUCCUGGCAGGCAUCUUCAUCCGCCUUUGUAGUAGGUGCCGAGAGGUCAAUAAGGAGGAUACUCUUACAGGUGCAGGUUUGUCAACCACCUGGUACCAGAGAACAUGGUCCGUACAAAGAAAUAAUGUAUAACAAGUGGAGAUCAAACAACAAAAACGAAAAAUGUAAAUGUACAGCCUAACCAGAACAGGUAAUAUGAAUAAGCAAUCAGAUACGAUAGAUAAACAAACGCUUACAGGCAAGCUAGAGAUCCCGUACUGAACAGAAGGUGUAGUUCCAGCUCGCGCUAUUGAAAUUUGUGGCAUUACUGGGAGUGUACCAAAAGGAUUGGUCACAGGUACUUGAAGUACACCGACAGAAUUCUGUAUGGCAGGCCUGCAAUAGCAAACAGAAGAGAACCAUUAACAACAUAUUAUAGUGGAGGAACAAAAUCAUCGCUGCAAUUUCCAGUAGAUGUACAAGGAAAAAAUAGAUUUAUUGUAAAAGAAACCAGUUCUUAGCACAUCGCAGAAGCAAACGCAUGCAGCACACAAGAUAAUCAUAAUAGGUUUACAGAUAAAUUAAGAGCAAGAGAGAGACAUACUGCUGUCCCAAAAUGUUCUGACCAAAUGCACUAGUAAAGCCACUUGUACCACCUGCAGUAAGAGAAACUUAACCAUCAAUUUUUUUUAUCAAUCACCAGCUAAAAACUUUACUGGAAGUGAAGGGAUAAAAUAGAGGAGUGGGGACGACAAACAAGUAAACAUUCAUAUAAAAAUUCAAGUACCUGCUUGGGCUGUACCAAAAUUCAUAAAGCUAGGUUGAGGCUGUUGAAAAGGUGCUGCGGUGGAGGCCUGCGUAUAGAAACGAUUAGCCGUAUGUACCAAAACAAAAAACCUACAAAUCUAGAACUCACAGUUAAGCGACGCAAGAACCAAGUACAAAACUUGCUAUAAACAAUUAAUGCCCAAAAGAGACUGAAAAAUAAUAGGAACCAUAUCGAAUUUCAAAUGUCAUGGACUCAUGGCUACUCAGUCACUUCUCAACCAGAAAAUUAUUGUCUGGCGCAUAUAGACGGGCAAUAUUUACUCAUUACAAGGAAAGAGACCAAACAAAGGAUAUUCAGGGUUACUGACCGACGUCUGACCAAACCCUCCAGUGUUAGAGGAAGGAAAUAAAGAUGUGUUUGAGAAAAGGCCACCACUUUGUGAAGUCGCCGGUGUAUUGAAAAUGUUUGACUGGCCAAAAGGAGAGGCAGAAUUCAGUCCAAUGGAAGAGGCAGUUUGUGGGAAUAAAGAGGUUUGUCCAAGUGAAGGAGUAGUCGACUGAAACGGAGAAGAACUGCUGGGGAAGCCCAUGCUGGGAUUAAAUGUGGAAGUUGUUCCUUGGGCAGUAGAAGAAAACAAGGAAGGCGUGGAACCAAAAGUUGAUGUGCUUGAUGUGCCAAACAAAGAUGGAGAAGUGGUGCCAAAUCCACCAGUUGAUGUGGAAGGAAAUGAUGUCGACUGGAAAGGGUUGGCAUUCGUUGAAGUUCCAAAAGGGGAAGAAUUGAAAGUUGAGGUUGGCGAUUGUCCAAAAGGCUUUGGAGCAAAUGGAUUGGAUGGGGUCGAAGCAGAAAAGGGAUUCGCAGAUGAUUGAGGAAAUGCAGAUGAAGAACCAAAUGGGUUUGACUGUGCUGCUGGUGCACUAAAAUUGAUUCCCGCAGAAGGUUGACCUGAGGCCUGAGGUCCACCUGCAAAACAAUAUAUGAAAGUUAGAUGCAGAAAUUGAUAACAAUAUAUACCAACCAAAAGUGUAAACUAUUAUGGAAUGUUUAUCACCUUUAUCUCCCAAUUGAUAAUCCUCCCAUCUCAGCUCCUCAUGGCUCUUUUCUUUAUAGGCAGGCAUGGCUGAUAUUGACUCCAACUUCCCCGGCUGCCCCCCUUGACCAGUGCUGUCUGUGUCAGCAGUAGUUGUAUACGGUACAGCUCGACUUCCACCUUUCUGUGCUCCAAAUUGUGUUUGGCCAAAGCCUGAGCUUCCAAAUGUUGGUGUUGUAGCCUGGGCACCUGAUCACGCCAAAUAGGACAAAUAAAACAUCAUCUAUUAGCUAAUAAAAUUGCAAACAACUUUUACGGACUUGAAUAGAAAAAUCUAUGGAUUGAGUUUCAAGUGACCCACCAAAUGCAGAACUCUGAGCUCCAAAAGGGCUGCUUCCAAACGCAGAAGUUGACUGACCAAAUGCAGAAGUUGAUGCAAAGCUAAAUGAUGGAGAACUAGAUGCCCCAAAAGUUUGAGUAUUUGAAGCCCCAAAUGCAGGAGAGCUUGCAGCUCCAAAUGCUUGAGUGCUUGCAGCACCGAAAGAUGGAGUAGAUGAUCCAAAAACAGAAGUAUUUGAUGUUCCAAAAGCUGGGGUAUUAGACACACCAAAGGCUGAUCCUGUGCUACCAAAGGCUGGGCUUGCUGUCGAUCCAAAUGCUGGGGUGCUUGUCGCACCAAAUGACGGAGUACUUGCAGCGCCAAAUGCUGGGGUGCUUGUGGAACCAAAGGCAGGGGUGCUUGUUGUACCAAAUGCAGGCGUGCUAGUAGCACCGAAACCAGACUGAGAUGCAGCACCAAAUGUAGUUGAUGUACCAAACAAACUGCUACCAAAAGCAGGCUGGGAUUGCUGGUUUGUGCUUCCAAACGGAGUCGGAGUAGUACUGGACCCAAAACCUCCAAAAGCAGGCUUUUGACCGAAGGCAGAUGACCCUACAUAAAAACAACUGAUUGUCAUAACUUGCAACACCGUAUAGAAUAAUGCAAAACUUCAUUUUCAGCCCAAUGCGAACGGGACGUCUUGAAAGACCAAAAGUAUAAAACUAACGAAAAAGCAAUAAGGCUUUAGUCUGACACAUAAGUUUAUCACUAUUACUUUGCGUAUGAUUCAGAAAGAGGGAAACACGGAUAGGAUAUCAAUGAAUAGUGGACUUAAAGGCACAGACAAACUAAGAAACGAAAUCAGCAAGAAGCAAGAAACAUAUUUAAUCCACCAACAUGUUAAGCCACAAAGAUAGAAAGCAAUAGGCUACAGAUGCAAAAAAGUGCUAAAUAUUACAGCCCGGGAAUGAGAGGACACAACUGGAAUGGACUAGCACCAAAACACACUUACCACCAAAGGUUGAGGGGGAACUAUUGAAAGCAGGAGUGCUAGAUGCUCCAAAAGCAGGCAUUGAGCUUCCAAAAGCAGGUGAUGACGAGGCCCCAAAUGUUGUUGUAGAUGGGAAAGGUGAAGAAGCUUGCGGUGCACCAAACAUACCUGUUGAAGUUCCCCCAAAUAAGGAGCUUCCCGUUUGGGAACCAAAAGGGGUUGGACUCCCAAAAGGUUUAGAUGCAAAAGGGUUAUUGGCUGGAGCAGCUGUCUGGCCGAAUCCUGAUGACCCAAAAGGGUUACUAGGUGUCUGUCCAAAAGCUGGUAAAAUAUGGAGAUCAUUAAAAUGUGUCAACAAAAAGGAGUAGGCAACUAGCCGUACUAAUCGGCUUUAAUACCAGACAUGAAAAACGAAAAAUACUAUUUCCACUGCAACUGAACUCAGCAUAUACAUGUUACUCAACAAGUUCAAUCUGCAAUUAUCUUCCAGGUUGAGCUGGGAAGCCAACACGCCAUCUCAUAACUGGCGUUGUGGCAUCGACAGAAAUCAUGCAAAGCAACAAUCAUGAAGGCGGAGAGUACCCUCAUCCAAAACAUAGAAACGAACUGUCAAUAAACACCAAUACGCUAUGUCUGCUUCAACAACAUUACUCCAUGGGUAACGACCAGCCGGUACAUGUUCAAUAAUAUUAAAUUUGUUCCUAAUAAGAAAUCAUGCACCAAUAUUCGCAGACAUAGAAAUUGAUGGAGAGGAAAACUCGGUACGUACAACGAAGUGUCAAUAAAGAGACUAUGAAAUUCAUGGCAUGCUAGUCCCCAGGCAAAACAACAAGGAAACGAAGCAAGGAUCGCAGAAAACUUACGAUUCGGAGAGCCAAACAUCCUUCGUCGAAAUAGAUUGCACAGACUCGGAAACGAUUGAAGCACGCUGCCUGAAGGGAAGACAAAAUAUAUAUGGAAUCAAUCGCACUAACUCGAGGAGAAGAAUAAUCAAGAUCCGCAACUAGUCACAAAACUAUGCGCAGAAAUCAAAUGAGUAGUAAAUCCGAAUCAAUGAAGAACUCAGUACAGGCGAAACAUAAGAUUAGAGAAGUUGUCCAUCCUAGGGUUUUCGAACAGUUACCUCCGAAAGAGAAAGAUACAGCGAGUGAGGGAGAAGCGAGAUGAGUUUGGAUCGGAACGGAGGGUUGUGAGAGAAGCAGAACUCGACCAGAAUGGGACGAGGGGAAAUGAACGGGAGGGGUGCGUCGGAAUCCUCCACCUGCCAGAGAGACUCUCUCCCAAACAAACGCACAGAAUCACAAUAAAACAAAUGCCUGCCCUUAUGGCCUCCCCAUUUUAUUUGGAGAAGAUCAGAAAACAGAAGAGAUGACGGAAGCCGCGCCGCGUCGCGUACUCUUGAAGUCAAGCUUCCCUAGUACUAGUAGCGUUGGUUUGAAGUCCAGUCCUAUGCGAGCCGAGCCGAGCCGCAUCGUGUUGAAGUCCCGGCUCAUAAUAGUUUCGUAGUUCAGAAAUAUAUGUUCCGCUUUCAAAUACCCACUAGAUUGCUCUAGUGGGAUCAUAAAUUUCCCUAGGGUCUUUCUACUUCUAUUAUUCAAAUUGAUUUACUAAUUAGACCAAGUAACAGUUUAAAAUUGUUUUUAAGUAACCAAUUAAUAUCUAAAAAUGAAAAUCAAAGGAAAAAAAAUUCAAGAGAUUGAGUUUCAAGUAGGAAUAAGGGUUGCUCGGAUUUGAAUCCACUAAAGCUAGAAUGCAUGGAUGAAAGACAAGUUAUCUCGAUUAUUCAGGUUAUAACGGUUUGAAAACUUCCUAUGGUAGUCUUGGAUCACUCUCGCGCAUCUGAGGAUCUAUUUCACUUAAACGUAGACUCCUCUCUCGAGCUAAUCUACACCUAAACAAAAGACAUUAAAAGUGUUCGAUAAGAUGCCACAACGAUAAACGGUGCAAAAAGGCUAAACGAUUCGCUCCUCUCCUGAGCUAACGAAUAAUCUAGGAUUCUUCCUUAGUGACCUCUCAAUCUAUGUUUCAUGGACCCACAAAUCAAUGCCGAUGAUUCAAUCAAGACGGCCAGACUAAAUUGAAUCAAAAAUUAGGUUUUAGGAAGAACGCAUCAUAAGUCUGAAAAACCUCUAUAACAAAUCAUGGGGUUAAAACCCCAUCAUCCAUACAAAAGUUUGGCUAAAACUUCAUCUCAUCCGAACAACACGAAAAGUUUAGCUACUCAUGGUUCGGGAAGUAAGAAGGAAAGAAGAAAGGAGAACAACCCGGAAAGACAACAUGUUUCGUCAAGAAUUCUAAAUCCUGUCGCCGAUCUUCACUCUUUCGCCAAUCGAUGAUGUUCUCUCACGUCAAUCAGUCUCCGGAACUCUCUCUCUCUCUCUCUCUUUCUCUCUCUAAGAGCUCGAAAAUAUGUCUAAAAUGAAUGAUAUGGAACCCAGCUCUCUCCAAGAGCUCGAAAAAUAUGUGUAUAUUCAGUAUAUCUUGUCCAUAGGGGGUAUCGGGGGUAUUUAUUGGCUUCUGGGCCAAGUUGGAGAAGGAAAAAGACUUAAAACCCGUCUGGGGGUGGGACAUGCCGUGCUCCAUAAGGAACACGUCAUGUUCCCGGCCGUGUUCUGCCCCUAUAAGUUUCUCGGGCAAUUCUAGAGGAGGAACACGCCGUGUUCCUUCAUUAUACGGAAUUUGACCUUGGCGUCAACGUAAAAGUUGUAGACAAUCAAAUUAUCUUUCCAACAUCGCUGACCUUGCAUCAAUUGGACUUCCGAGAGAUGCAUUAUGCUCAAAAUACUAAACAUUGAUGCUUUCUUCCAAAGUCGAACGUUUUGAGUUGUUCCGGCCUCCCCGUCGUGUCUUGGUUUAUCUCUAAACGUCAUAUGACACCUGAAAUGUACCAAAAACAUACCAAACAGCAUAACACGGCACCGGGGCCAUGAGAACCAAACAUGUGCUAAAAGUCAUGAGUUUGAAUAUGUUUCGACACACAAAAAUAUAGUUUACGACCCGGAAAAGUGUGUCGAAAAUUUAGCACAUCAGGAAAUCAGGUGCUAUGGGUGGUGCAACAGUGGUCUCGAAAUCGGAGUUGGAGAAAUAUCUAGCAGAUGAAGAGGAGUCUAUAGAGCUGCAAGGAGUUAGGGAUGUAGAGUUUAAUAUUUUGGAAUGGUGGAGUAGCAUCGGGGGGAGGGGGGGAAUAUCCUAUUCUUUCUGAGAUUGCAAGAGAUGUCCUUGUUGUCCCAGUAACUACAGUUGCAUAUGAGUCUACAUUCACCGGAGGUAGAGCGUUAGAUACAUUUAGAACUUCCCUUACCCCGAAAAUUGUUGAAGCAUUAAUUUGUAGUGAAGAUUGGUUGAAAUAUAAUACUACCUCAAAUACAAGAUGAGGAAGAUAUAGAGUAGCAUAUUGAAUUUGAGAAAGGUAUGUAUAAUAUGUCAUAAUGUUUCUGUUUAUGAACAAUAGUUUAAUACUCUGUUGAACAUCCUCUCCCACAUUAUGAACAACGAACUAAUGUUUGCGUUUGUCUAAUUCAAUUAGUUUAUGCAACCUUUGAACAAUUGAAUAUCGAUUCACCACCACUUGGAAGUCUAAAAGGAAGUGCAAAUGGCAAUACAAUGGACACAGGAGAUGAUGAUGAUGAUUUGAAUGUCAUUCAGUUUAUGCAGCCUUGUUAUCGCCUACUGGAUUUGGAUGUCUUUCCUUUUGUUUUCGGGUAUGUACUAUGAUGGAUUUUGGAUUGAUAGAUGGUGUGGUUGAACACUUGAACCUUUGUGUUGGAAGCUAUUAUUAGAUUUUAUGUGCAAGUAAUAUUAGAAACUGAAGUGUGGAUACCCGAAAUAAAGUGAAAUGCUGCUGAAAAGUUUCCAUAAUUUUUGGUAUUUUUGGUAGUAUCGGUUCAAAUUUGGUUUUUGGUGGCCAGUUAGCACAAAAAAAUCCUUCAAUUCGGUAAUUAUCGAUACCGAACCGAAAAUUUCGGUUUCGGUAAUGGUAAUUAUCAAAAAUAUUUCGGUACGGUAAUGGUUAUCAUUUUGGAUAUAAAUUCGGUCUUCGGUAUUUCGGUAAUGGUGCGGCAAUACCGUUACCGUACCGAAUUCCACUCCUAAAUUGGACCAUUGUAGCCUUUCAAUGACAUCUGCGGUAGGGUUCAUAAUUGAUCAUUAAGAGAAGAAGACAAUAAAGAAAGGAAGAACAGCGUAGUCUUUGUAAGCUGGGUAGGACUCGUGCUCCCAAUCAACGGAUUUCAGAAGGUCCAUGACACCCAUCUCCCGGAAGAAGAAGGAGAAGAAUCAGCUGUCCACCAAGUUUCGAACUUUCCGUGAGGAGAAUCAAUAGAGCAGGUGGGUUGUUGCAGUGAAGAACAGGAAUCACCGAUUCUCCGCCGUUGGCCUCCGAAUCUUGGGAGGAAAAAAAUGGAGGCGGAUGUAAAAAAGAUGCUAUUUAGCACCUUCAGCUUCCCGUCAAAUUGUUGGACGCCAGACCGAUGAAAACCUCACUUUCCACAUCCCGGUACGCCACAGCCGCUGCCGGUUCUCCCAGACCUCGAUCUGGGGCCCGCCCUGUGGGUCGACGGCCAUCGUAAAUUUAUCAGGAUAAGGAUCGUCCUCCCAUCGCCACGAGUAGAAGGUGGUUGUCAUCAGUUUGGCCGUAGAACGCGGAGGAAGAAGUUGUGUCGACGGGGAAGAAUAGAGACACCACAAUAACUCAGCUGGGUCCGAAUAACCCCACUUGAAGAAUAGAGAAGUUACCGGCGGAAGGGAUGGACGGUGGUGGAAGUAGCAACUUGGAAGGAAAUUGCUGAAAACCUUGUUGGUCUUCCACAACGUGGGGAAGUCCAGUUGCUGCCGUAGCUUUCGAGAUUGAGUCGAAGGAGAGGGGGAGAUUGAGUCGAAGACCAAAUCUUCCUCGAAAGAGCUUCUUACUCCUAAUGCAUCAUCCAAAAUGUAUCUGAUGAUUUCCGAACAAAAACCGAAAUCAAAAUCCUUAGCAAUGGAAGUUUAGAAAAGAGUGAUGAUCACUGAUGCUAUCCAAAGCAACUAACCUUUUGACAGCUCCAUUGCUUUACCUCUCCACUAAAAUAGACUGUUUCUUCCGGCAUCUAUCGCUGUUCAAAGCAGUGUAAAAAAACAUUCGUCAACUGUUUCCUACUACGAACCUCUGAGCAAGGCUAUCAGGAGAGGCAUUUGGAAUUCCUCACCUCUCGUCUUCGGAAUCUUGAGGAUUGGACUGUGCACAGGAAAAUCGGAAGCGACGAGCUCUCCUACUCCGGCUGCUGCUCGUCGUCGUCGACGAUUCGAAUGCACAGUUAGGAAACGAGAGCCUCAGGGAAUGAGUCAUGCCUGUGGAGAGUUGAAGGUGAUGAUGAAAUGGAAUGAUGAUUAUCUUCUUCCUCGGCUUGAUGCUGUGCUGGUGGUUUGCAAGCAACUGUAUCAGCUAAAUCCUCGACUGGACUUGAGGAGAAGAGGAGUUGAGUUGCCUUCCGUUCAAUCAUCCAGUUGUACGGGUUGUGGUUCCGGUUGCCCGACCAACCCGGAUCGAAUUGGGUCGGCCCACCAACAAUAGAAGCCCAAAGCUGUUUGAACGAUAGAGCACAUCAUAUUUUCAUAGAUUUACGUACUUGAUGGUUACAUAUGAAUUUCUAUUUCAGUUUUUCAUUGACUAGGAACCAAAGGCUUGGUCAACCGGUCAUUAUUUUCUAGUUUUGGUUAGUGCUAAAUAAAAAAACCGAAACCAAUCCCGAGCCAAUUAGGACGAAAGUCGAAGCCAAGAAUGCCGGCCUCAUUAGAUCAAUUUGAGUACAUAUGGUGUGUUACAGACAUCGCCUAAUCAAACUUACUAAACCAUGCUUUCAAGUUUCACCUAACUAUCACAGUGCCAAAAAAAUCAGUGCCCCCGUUUGUUUCCUUGAGCUACAAGCAAGGCCGCAAAAUCGCCAGUAAUAGCUACAAAAUCGUCCAAACAUUUGAGGUUUACUGAGUCAAAUGUUAGAGCAGGGCUAGCUAUGUGGUGUAACUAGUUACAAACUAUACUAAUUAUGAAAUUCGCUCGUCAAAGGCAUGCAGGCUGAUUACAAGGGGGUUCUCUGCUACACUUGUCAGACGACAUCCAGUCUUCACAAGGGGGGUUAUCUUCUGUUGCAAUCUCAGCAGCGACCUUGGAUUUCUGCACAACCUCGCAUUUGCCUUCACAAGGAGGCUUCUCUUCUGUUACAACCUCAACAACGACCUUGGGUUUCUGCACAACCUCGCCUUUUCUUACACAAGGGGGCUUCUCUUCUGUUACAACCUCAGCAGUGACCUUGGGUUUCUGCACAACCUCGCCUUUGCCUUUAACAGAUGGUGUUGAUGAUGAAGAUGUUGGAGGUGCACGGCGGUAGACAUUAGAAAGCACUAGUACUGAACGAUGUUGCUGUGGUGGCGGUGUAUCUCCAUGAACAAAUCGACAAGGGUCUUUGUUGCAUUUGCCCUUUUUCCAGAAGUGGCACACGGUCGUACACUUCACGCGUUGGUACACAUUCGUAGUCCUGGUUUACAAAAAUAAGAAUCUCUUACUUUGAUUAUAAGUCAAAUAUAUCAACUUUUAAGUUUAAUUAUGAAAACUGAUGGGUACACGCUCGAUUGGAUCAUAAAGUCUUAAAUCCUAACUACAAUGUUCAUUUUGAUGGACACAUGUUCAUUUUGAUUGACACAACUAAUAGGGGCGAGUCCUUCGAUAUAUCUGGCAUAUCAAAAUUUUCAUUACGCUCAUUUUUUAGCGGGUAAUGUAAAUAACAAUAAUUUUAAAACUUAAUUAAACAUGUUAACGUAGUCACAAAAUUUAGUUUUAACUUACAAAUUAAUUUUGGUUUAGAAAGUUGAUGGAAAUCUUUACUUCACCUUUGUUUCUUUUUACAAAGGCAUUAUAUUUUUAUGAUUGUUAUAUGGCUCCCAGCUGCACGCUAAUCAAUUGAGUUUGAGGUCUCGAAUCGAGGGGCAAUACGAAAUAAAAUAAAAUAUUCAUAGACGAGUUAAUUAAUUAAUUUAUGGGCCGAAUUCAUUACAAAACUUUCGAUUGUGACCACAAAACUGUAGAUGCAAUAAUCCAUCAAAUUAUACAUAUCACAUGUGAGAGAGUACGUAUAGGCCAAAUGGUGGAUUAAUUGUCACAUAGGAACAGGGUUGACGUGGCCAACAUCGUCAUAAUCGUUAUGCCAGCUCAGAAACUAACGAAGAGAGACUGUGUCAUAUCAAACUUUGCGUAGAGACACGCCACUAAGUUUUAAGGAUACCAACAAAUUAAAUCUGGUAGUUUUUCUCACAAAAAUAACAAAAAAAAUUAAAAAAUUGAACGAACCGAGGGGGAGUCCAAUCCGUGGAGUAGUGAGUGAUAUGGUUUUGGAUCCGAUUCAGGAAGGCGGUACAAAUCUCAACCGUCUAAAAAUUGUUUAUUAAAUUUAAUGGUUGAGAAUACGAGGAUAAAAUUGAUAUUUCGUAGCCAUAUGAAUGAGUAUGCUACUUAGUACCAUGUAAUACUUAGUAUUACACUUUGUACAAAAGCCAUACGAAUGUGUAUAUACUUUUGUACGGGUUUUACAAACAUUUUUAUGUGUACCAUUGUCGGUACAAAGUUGUAUGGCCGGUCGUCGGAACUUUUUUCCCCAGGAAUGUAGAGCCGACGACGGUGAUCACGUGGAUGCAAAUAAAUUCGUCAACGGAAAUCUGAAUCGCCGAAAAAUUGAUCUGGAAAUUUUUCGAUGACCGAAAAACGAUAAUCCGAAGGGGGUAUAAUGCGAGUCAUUUGUCUUCUUAUUUUUGACAAGUUCGCUUUGGUGUUUAGUUUAACCUAAAUACGUAUAAUUAAAUCUCAUUUUCAAUUUUUAAUCUCAUAUGUAUGGUCGUCGAUAUCAACAACACGGCCUGCAUCAACAUUGAAAGCAAGCUGCUGAUGUUGGCCACUUGGUUGUCUCCAUCGGAUGUAACGAUUAUUAUUAAAAUACAAAACAAAAAUAAAAACUCAAAUUACAUCUCCGAAUAAUCGAAUAUAAAGAAGACUACAAUCCUAAGCACCUUAUUAAUUCCCCUGAAUCACAAAAAUUAAAAACAUCGAUAUUAGUUAUACCGUUAAUAACUCAUACAUGGGGGCACCAGCGCUAGGAGAAGGUAUGAAAGGGAAGAACAAGAAGUCUUCCGGCAGAGGACACCACAGGUUCGUCGGAGUUAGGCAGAGGCCUUCGGGAAGAUGGGUGGCGGAGAUCAAGGAUUCUCUUCAGAAAGUUCGCCUGUGGCUCGGGACUUUCGACACGGCCGAGGACGCUGCCCGAGCCUACGAUGACGCGGCUCGGGCUUUGCGUGGCGACAACGCCCGAACCAAUUUCGAAUUGCCUCACCCUGCUGCCGGAGGCGGCCGGGGAGGGCUUUCCGACAACAUCGAGCCUUUCUCGUUUGAGGAGGUUUGUGGGACCGGGAGUGAGGCUGCUGACGGGAUUCUCGGUGCCCUCAAGGCUAAGCUUCUCGACGGGAAAGGUCUCCGGCUUAAUAACAACAACAGCGUGGGUGCCAGCUCAUCAGGUGUGCAAUUACCAAUCAACCAUCGCGGGGGUAAAGACAAGGGUACCGUUGAAAACGGCAACGAGGGUAAAAAGGUAAAUAAUAACCCGACGACUCAGGUUGGUAGACCACCGAAGCCUCCUCCGAAACCCAGCCAGGACGCUCGGAUAGAUGGCAUGGAUCAUCAUGCCAUGCUGAGACAUCAAAAUCAUCAUCAUCAACAACAGCAACAACAACAACAAGAGAAUUACCAAAUUUCCCAACCUGAUCAUCACCACCAGUCCAAUGUUAAUCCUCAAUACCAUCAAGAAAUUGAUCAAGCAGGAGUACUGAAUCUCAACGAUUCGAAUUAUUGGGAGAGGUCCAAAGCUGGGGUGUCUCCAUGGCACGCGAUCGCCGCAGCUACAGCGAACAAUAACGGAGAAUGGACCGACCAUAAUCAACAACCACCGGCAGCUGUCACAUCAUAUGAGGAUCAUCAAAUGGUGGAUCAGUGGCCACAUCAGCACCACCACAAUGUUAAUUCAAUAGACACGGCGGCUGCGAAUUUGUUCACCACCACGUGCUCGACGUGGCCGACGUCGAUUCACGACCAAUCGGGGAUUCCGUCUUCGCCGUCGUACAUGAAUUCCGGCAUAAAUGUAGCGACGACGAGCAACGUCAACGUUAAUCAUCAUCAUCAUAACCAAGGAGGAUGGACGCCGUCAUUGACGGAGCAACAGUUUAUGCAAACGGAAAUGGGUAAUACUGGAUGGACGCCUCCACCUCAGAUUGGUGGUGGUUCCGGUUGGGACCCGCUUCUCUACGUGUCCUCGGUGCUAGGCUGACAACUGUAGCCAGCCUUGGGAUCAUCGUCCACGUCAUCAUCAUUCUUAACUAUACAUACAGUACACGUGGAUUGGAUUGCGUUGACGAUGAUGAUAUGUUAAUCUAUAUGGAUGUCUUUUUUGUUUUCUUUUAUGGAAGAUGGAAACUAAUUGAGCGGUAACUUUCUAAUUAACUUUUUAAUUCCCUCAAAAUUCGUAUUAACAGCUUGUAUGAUUGAGAGACCAAUGAAUUUUUAUUUAUUUAUUAUUAUGGAUCUAAACCAAAUGGUACGAGUCAGAUUGAUCGUAACUGCUUUCUUUCCGUUCCUCCCGUUUACACGGGAAGUCAUCUUCGGCCGGCUAACUUCUCUCUUAAUUAAGAUAGAUAGUUCAUUUUUCUAUGUAUUGCAUAAUAUACCAAACAACUUGAACAGCUACAAAGAAGAGUCCCAGUAUCCAAGAGCAAGCAAACAAAAAAACAAAAAUUCAUUCGUUUACUCAAUUGAAGUCGAGUGCGAAUACCUUAAAGAAAAUCCUCAACAGAACGGUAGAUCAAACCUAUAUUAUCACGGUCAAUAAUUUUUCUAUCCUACCACUGGGACACUAAUUUGCAUUAACUUUUUUAAGGGACAAAAGGAAUGAUGCGCAAUAAGAAAUAAAAUUUAAUGGUUACUUACUUCAGCAAUCAACAUCUUUGGGAAAAAAAAAACUUAAAAACAUCUAACACCCCACGGUGACAUACUUGUUUUAACUAUUAAUUAACCUUUACACUUUUCUAACUUGGGAUAAUUCAACGAAUUUUACUAGAAAAUAUAGCUUUAGCGGUCCUCAAAAUUCAUAAACAANNNNNNNNNNNNNUUACUAAUUUAACAAGCCAAUUCGUAAUGUUAUUCAAACUAGUAUUUAUAUAUAUAGUUAAUGAUGUUCGAUUGUUCAAUAAGAAUUAAUUAUUUAAUAUAUCGUAAUCUCUUCUUUUUUAACUUAACCUUAGUUAAACUUAGGUUGAUCUAAGGCAAAAACAUACCUACGUCAGGAUAACCCUUUUUUGAAAAAUUUUAUUCUGAAGAAAGGUAUUUCUUUUUACAAAAAAAAAAUGCCUUUUUUCUAGCACGAUUUUGAAUGAGAGAAAGAAUUGGGGAAUCCUCUUUUCGACUCUGACUCUCCCACUCCAUUCGUUACUUUUCUUUCUGUUACUUCGAAAGUAGCUGCUUCAGCUUCAGUCACUCAAAUUUUCGAUAUUUCCUUUUUAUUUCUCAUCAAAUGAAUGACAUCUUCUUCUUGAAAUCCUAUCUUUAGAAAUUAUUAAAACAUUAUAGAGACGAAGGCGACUUAAAAUUACAAAAUAAUAGAGACAAUUGUUAAAUUUGCUAUACCGUUCAUAUUAACAAUUUUGAUAGUUAAAAAAAUUGGUCAUGAUUUUCACCAAAUCGGUGUCUCGGCGUUGAUUACUUUCGUGACAUCGUCACGGACACACGGUUUCGGAUUGAGCCACUGCGUUAUGUUGCGGAUGCAGAAACAAAAGAAGGGUAAUUAAUUAUAUUGGGCAGAUUUAAUAUUUGGUAGCAAAUUGUAAAUUCCGUGUAAGCAAACUAAAAGUUAACAAGGGUUUCCAAGGAGAUUAGCACUGAUGACAAAGACGACCAAAGUAAUUAACAACUGAAAAUGAGUAGUACACAUUUGGACGAUUCCUUCUGAAUUCAUCCCCCUUACAUUAUCGAUAAAACGAUUAUUAUUAUUUUUUUUUUUUAAAAAUAAUGUAUUAAAAUAACCAGUGUGUGAUGGAGACCUUGUGUGCUGGUCAUUGUAGAAAAUGAAACAAUGAUAUUAUAUAUAUAUAUAUUAUAAUACACACUUUAUUAUUAUGAAACGAAAGGAUUCAAAUUACAAGUGGAGUGAUUCUGAUGAUAUUGUUGUGUGUUUAGUUAGUGAUUCGAAUUAUUCGGACAUUUUAGAAGUUGAGAGUGAGGAAUUUGACAAUGAUGAGAAAAAAAAACGAUAUUGAAGGAUCGACUGAGGUUAUUUUUUUGGAUCGACCAGCUCGGCUAACAUUUGAGCAUGCUCAAGGAUCGAAAGUUUAAGUGGGAUAAGUUUAGUGGGUAGGGUUAUAUGAUUGAUAUAUAGAUUUAAAUGUCCUAGUUCGAAUUAAGUCACACCUUAAUGAACUUAUAGACCUUUGUGCCUCUUCGGGUCCCCUUUCGUAUGGACUCAUCCCCAUCCACAUGUCAUUGACUACUGUGUUAGGUGUUUCCAACAGAUUAUUUGGCAGGUGGACACCAAGGACAAUGCUAAGGUGGUUCUUUCUCGAUAACGGAGCUAGGUCGAUGCACAAACUUCGGAGGUCUUGAUCUCCCAGACUACUUAUCAUCAACUUUAGGUGCAGGUUUUUCAACAAUCUGUUAAUAAAUCUUUCAAAUUGUACGUGUUGAAACCUAAUUUAGUCGAGUAGCAUUGUUUUUUACCGUUUACGUUACUGUGGGGUUGGUCACGUUGACCUAUCGAGUGGCAAGGAUACGAAAUGGCGUUUUCUUUAAUUCCCUGGUUUAAUUUUGCGCUCUUGGCGUGGAGUGCCAGGCGAUAUCUGCUAAACCAAACCCAUCCCUUUAAAUUACAUUUGGGAAACCGAAUAUCAUGAAUUAGUAGCUGAGUUAGUACAUUUUUUUCCCAUCCAAAUUUUAACAUGGUCACAGAUUUUAAAGUGUGGUCAUUGGCUUUAUCUAAACAUAUAGCUUAUUUUAAUGUUACAGUGUGACAUAUGUUGUGCCGCCACAGUUUUCGAAAUUUGAUUUCCCAAUCAAACCGGUUCUGAAAUAAUGUCAUAAUCAUCGAUCGAUAUAUACUUAGUAGCUAGCUAGGAUGAUUAGUUGUCUGAUGAGAGCCCAACAAAUGGUACCUUUCUCCCAGCUGGAAUGGCCGGGGGAGUUACAAUGUUUUGUCUAAUGUGUGGUAACUCAUCAACUUGAGAGGUUGGUGGAGGUUUCAUGCUUUUUUUUCAUGAGGUAGAUACGUCAUGAUUUCGGCAGGCUGGAAGCCCGCGACGAACGUAUAGAUUCGUUGAUGGGAGACGGAUAAUAUUAAAUUCGUAAGUAGCGGGUCGUGGGUGCUGAGAGAAUGUGUACUAAGUUUGUUGACGGACGAUGGGCAAUCCGAAAUCUGUAGGUAAUGUGUCGUGUGACGAAAUGUAUACUAUCCACUCAUUACCCACACGACAGAUUAUCCGUUUGUAGUACGACUGUGCUUGUUAGGGGUAUAUAAAUAAUAAUUUUCAUACAUACCCUAACCCUUAAUGAGAGUUUUAGAAGAAAUUUUGUAACUGACAAUUUUCAUAGAGGAAUCUUUUGGACGAUUGAGUUCUUCGCCGGAAAAUCCUCACGACCCCCAAACCUUUUUCCGCAAUUUCCUUAUGAAAUCUUCCCUUUAUUAUUCACUACAACAAUUUACUUAUAUUCUGGGGUUCCGUUGUCAUGGUUACAUAACUGCACAUAUAUGGCGGAAAUUCGCCUCUGUUUUUGCAUUUGACCAAAACCGCGAAAUCGGUUGCAGGUCGAGUGAGAAAAUUAGCACAACAAUAUUCAACAUGAUGCAGUCUGAUGAAUAUUUUCAGGCGUUAUCAAAAUAAUUCGGUUAAUGAAUUAAUUGAAGUCGAAUCUCUUUAGGGUUUUUUUUUGUCGUGACUACUCAAAGUUUUGUGGUGUAGGUGUCACGAGAAUGAAUCACACAAUUAAAAGAAAAUAAAAAUUGCUUUAAAGUAAAUGGUUGUAAGACUGCACGAUAUAAGGUUAUAAACAAUCAAGGAUGAAACUAUUUAGACUUUAAAUCCCCUAGGUAAUUCAAACUCACAAAUGACAGACAAAUUCAAUGAUUUACACAAAACAAGAUAAAUUCAAUUCACCAUCGCAGUUCUUCUCUGAUCAAAUCACGCCCUUUCGAUCUGCUAAUCUACUACCUUUCUACUAUCCUAGUCCGCUCUUUCGAGACAAAGAUCUGAAAUCCGCUAGGCGACAAAACUAACGAGAACUGCUCACGCGAUGGACUAGUUUAUUCGCUCCCAGAUGAGGGUUAACGUCUGACUAGUUGGUUAAUUUCGGCGUUCUAGAUAUGCAAGCUCUUUCGAGACGAAGACAAAUCUAGCAAGGUUUUAUUCAAGAUAGCUAAGUAAGAACAUAACGAAAUCGAAAUCAAACAUAAAUUGAAAUUGAUCUGACUCGCAUAAAUCGUCAAAUGUAAUCAAAUCAUUCGUUCAUAAGGAUAUACCUAGCGUCAUCUAAUCUAAGCACGAGGAGUUCAACUACUCAUAAUCUAAAAAAAAUUAGAUUCAAAGAAGGAAGACAUUGGAAUUAGGUUUACAAGAAGAAAUUCAAAAAAAACCUAAUUUCGCCGAUUCCCGCCGAAGAACUUGAUUCGACGAUCUUGAUUAUGUCUUCCGAUCCAAACUCCUUGAAGUCGAUGCCUUCUCGUCGCUCCGAAGUCUCUCCACUAUCCUCUGAAUUUUGUCCACAAAAGUCUGUCUUCGAAUGAGGGAGAACCCGGGUAUUUAUAUCGUCUAUUCCCAAUUGGAGAAGGAAAAUUAUUGAGAAAAUUCGUCUUGAGGAGGAACACGCCUUGUUCCUAAAGGACACGUGCGUGCUCUCUAAAAAUCGCUUCUCGGUCCGAAAGUUAUAGAGAAAAGGACACGACGUGUCCUUGAGGAACACGACGUGCCCCAAGGACACGCCGUGUUCUCUAGGGACACGGACGUGCUCCAUGAAAUUAAUUUCUCGGCUGUAACUUCCAGUGAAAGAACACAUGCGUGUUCUUUAGGAACACACCGUGUUCCUCUUGAAUUUUAGCAACCAUCUGCUCCGAGCAACUUAAAUCACGUCUUAGUUCCCGCUUGUCCCCAAACACUGUAUAUCGUCUGAACUUCGUGAUGUAUUCAUUCUUUGAUGCAGUUAGCUCCUCUUUGCACGUCAUACAAUUCCGAAUAGUGCCCCCGCGUCGCAGUGUGUCUGAAAUCGAUCAAAAAACUACGAAACAACAUCAAAUGGACCCCGAACGGGUCCGAGACACUAAAUCGAGAUAGAAGUUAGAAAUUCACGAAACACCCUAAACUUCUACCUAAAACUAUACGAUUAUGCAUGAAAUGUCGCUUUAAUGAGGGCGAUGGACAUGACAAAUUUAGUGUCAUCACAGUCAUUAACAUCCCGUUAGCUAUUUUCUGGUUUAGGGGUUGGGAAACCGCGAGAAGAACAACCACAAGAUUAAUAGGUAAGUAGAAUCGCGGAUCCCAUCUGUUUCCAACUAAUUCAUUCCUUCUCUUUAUCGUCCCUCACACCAUUCAAUCUCAACAACACUAACAUGGUCUUACUGUCGUCCCUCCUGCCUUCUUCAUCGUCCGACCCACCACCCUACUGUUUCCCAUCGGGCUCCGAAAAUCCCCUUCUCCAUAGCGCUGAAAGCUCUAUGUCGUUGAAAUUCGAUUGCGGCUCCCAUCAAAAUUUCCGCAACGGAAAGCCUCUGCUUAGCUUUAAGUUCUUCCUUUCCUCCUCAUAAUUCAUUCUGUUUCUUUUCCACCCGCCCGUCCUACGUAAUGGUUGAAGUAUGUGUUCCAAGGAUAUGGCAAUCUGUCUGCUUUCACUAAUUUCGGCUUGCAUCAAAUUUCAGCGGUUCAUAGCAAAACCAAAAUAGGGAAAUUUGAGAAAAUGAGCAAGAAAGGAAUGAAUAAAGAAAGAAGCAAUAAUAAUUUGAUUGGUUGUGAUUGACAAGUUUGGUUACAUGAACUGAAUAUUUGCGGGGUUUGAUUAUUGGUUUCGCAACUCAAAAUCACGUUAGAAUCCAUCUUCAACAAGUAAUAAAGUAUAAAAGUGUAUAACUUAGGAUGAUUGCGGUAUGUACGCUUGUUCCAUUAUGAAUCUAAAAUUAUAAAUCCGAUACCUACAUGAAAUUGGGAAAUUGAUUAUGUAUUAUCCCAAGAAAUUACAUAACACCACCAUUUUCUCAGUCUUCAAUAAUCAAAUUCUACCUACUUACGAUAAUGUGGUUAGAAAACAUAUAGGAUUCACCACAAUCCUUUUAGCUUUACGUGUUACGGGAAGCCAAACCCAAUUGUAUUCAAGAAUGUUGAGAAUGUGGUAAAGCAAUUAGCAUCAUCUAGCCAUCACAGUGGGCUAGCCCCAAAUAAUGCAAGUAACGCAACACAUCAUUUCAAAAGAUUGUAUAUGAUAGUAGAUAACCUAGCAGUUGCAUAUCUCAAUGUAAGAGAUUACUAGGUUCAAUAAAUUAAAUAACUGGAUAACGUUACGUCAAUGAGUAUGAAUUUUCAAUUUAAAAAAUUAUAGUGACAAGCAAGUCAAAUAUUAAUGAUCAGAUAUUUACAUAAUAAAUUGCUAAGUAUGCAUACCAACAUGACGAAUAAAUAAUAUAAGAAUGUAAAAUAUUAAUUGUAAUUAAGUCAAGUGGUCAUUAAGGAAUUUGAUUUAUCAAAAAUCAUAAAUUCAGUAAAAGGGGCUUAAAUUCAUUCACCAAAACAAUCAGCCAAGAUAAAAUUAUAAUACCGAGAGUAGAGGUACGUCCAGCGACAGUGAAGGUCCGGCGAGGGUCCUGCGCGAGGUAGAGGUACGUCGACAGUACUGCCUGACGAAGGUCCGUGAAGUUUCAUGUUUGUCCUACUAAUAUAUACCGUUGAGAUUUCGUUGGACUGGAGAAAAAAAUCAAAAAAUAGUUUCCUAUCCAAACAACUAGCCCUUAAUUUAUAUUCAUGCACAAUUGAGUUAAUUUAUGAUGGGCGGUGAUAACAUGCAUCCGGUACAAAUGUAAUGUGGCGGAAUAUUAUUGAUUGGUAUUUAUUAAUAAAAAGUAAUGUUAUGUUAAGUUAACACGGAAAUAUAUAAAACAAUACAGCUAGAUCAUCCAAAUUUAUUCAAUUUAAAUCUGUUAUCUUUCCUUCACCGUUACUCAACGAAUUCACAUCCUCCUCCACUAUUGGAUUUGAAUUCACAUGAUUGCUUAACGAAUUCACAUCCUCCUUUACUGUUGGAUUUGAAUUCGAAAACUUUUAAUACUAUUUUUUGCAUCAAACAGCACUAGAACAAAACUCAUGCACUUAAAAUUUCAAAAUGGCUCAUACAUAAUAUCCACUUCCAGGAAUGCUAGCUAGCUGCUUCUGAGUUUUCUCCAAAUUCUUACCUUUAAUUUGAAGUCUGAACUCCAGUUUGAUGUUCUUCUUUUGUUGCAUGGGUUUAAUUUAAAGGAUAUAUACAGAAGAUGAAGUGAAAGUAGUGAAAGAGGAUAGAUGAGUAUCGAUUCAUUAUUCACUAGUUAUAAUUUUGGGUUCGGAUAAUAAUAAUUUCUGAAUCAUCUUUUCGGUUAUUUACAUCAUACUUUACAUGUUGAUGUUCAACCGGUUUUCAAUUAUAACCAUAAAUAAAUAAACUUUUUAUAAAUUUUAAGAACAAAAAUUCACAAACUUUAUUAUUUUUCAAAUGCUUGAACUUUAUAAAUCACUAACCGUUUUCAAAUUAACUAGCUAUUAUACCAUAAACAAUCUCAUUGUAAAAACAUAUUCAAAGGACUUAAAUUGACCGAUUUGAUUUAAUUUCGGGUUUAAAUACUUCAAUAUUUCUCUCUAUUAGUUUCGUUUUUUUGAAGUAUCCGGCUAAUUGCCUAAUUCCAUAUAAAAGGCGGGCCGGGCUGGGCCACGGCAUAGUUGAGCCCAACAUCCAUUAUUAUGUGAAAGGGAGGAAUCCCAGAUCCGGGAAAAGCACGUCUGAAAGUGAUAGAGAGAAUAUAUACGAGUACGAGGAACCAAUUACUACUGCUCAACACACCCUAGUAAUAGUAUUCUUGACUUGGUUGCGUCCAAGAAUCUAAUACCAUGCAUCUUAAUUUCAUUCCUAUAUCAAACAACCUUAAUUAUUGCUUUUGAUAAACAAAGAUAACAACAAACACACCCUUAGUACAAAGCUAAUUGAUCUUGUUCGUUCAAUUACGAGACAUGUGAAAUCAGAUACAUCUCGCGGUAUGCUCGAUUUCCGCCAUCACGAGACAUGUGAAUUAUUAUUGAAUUGGGUUGGAAGCUGCUGAAUCAUGCAACUCUUUGUAUAUUUUGGUUGAGGUUAUAUAUCAUAUGGUGUUUGUACACAUGACAUAAUUAAGGAUCGACAAACUUACCGUUCAUGAGUCUUUUUUUUCUUCGCUUUCUCUCUUCUUUCUUUCCUGUUUGAGCCUUUGUUGCCGCCGACACCUUUUGGUGACCAGCGGCAACACCUUGUUCUUCACAUCUUGUCUUUGCUUUUCUCUUCCUUAUGUUCUUGUUGUCUUUCCCUAAAUGGUUUUUAUCACAUUUUCAUGGUUCUAUGUUCUGAUCUUUCAGAUUCAGAGUUUAGGUUUUGUUCCUCCUCUUAUGGGACUUGUGUUUUUCCCUUUGUGGGCAUGUUUUUCUCCUCUAUUGGAGCCUUCGGUUGCAGAUAUGAUUCUCAGUUUCUUCUUGGAUGUAUAAGGAGCCGUUUUCAGUUGGUUCUCCUCUUCUUUCUUUCCUUUCCUUCUUGUUUUUCCCUUGUGUUGGUAAUCCCGAGUUGUGGGUCUCUUAUGAGCUUGAAAGCCGAUCGAUGAGUCAGUAGCAAAGACGACCUCAAUCGAAGGAAAGUUUCCUUUUAUUCUUCUUCUUGGCAGUGUCGAUGGUGGCUUCCAUGGUGGUUUCCGGAGUUUCUUCCAGAUCGACGACAUCAUCUUCUUCUGUCCGACCGAGGGCUGUACCAAGAGAUGAAGAGAGGCGGCUGCAAUCUUUUGGUGGUUUGAGAUUAAGAAUUGUGCUGUUGUUCUUUGGGCUAGGGUUUUGCUCUCGGGUCUCAUUAGUUUAAUGACAUGUUUUCUUAAUUUCGUUGUCUUUCUUUGGAUUUUGACCCUCCUAUGUAUUUCCUCUUUCAAUAAUAAUAUGUUACUGAUUUGUAAAAAUAAAUUUAUCAUUCGAAAUUUUUUGAAUUCAAAGUAACGAAAAAUAUGUGUUCAAAUUUUGUCGAGUAUACUAUCGAAAACUAACUCCAGUACUCCCUAGAAUCUUCGAUCAUAUGAUGAUUCAGCUCUUAGUAUUACACCCGUGCUACAUUUACUAUAGCCAAAGUCUAAACUAAAUACGCUUGCAAGUGGUGGAGACCAAACUUGACACUAGUCUUUUUUAACAAGAUUUCAUUUCAUACCAAUCAACUACAAACAAGAACAUUACAAGUACAUAGCUUAGCUACUAAUAACGUCUUUCCAAUUAUCCAGAAUGGACCUUGAGCGUGUUGCGCUUGCCACUCAAUUAACCGCAAGGUUGUCACGUCGAGGGGUGAAGACAAUUCGAGUCCACUGACAAUUAAAAACAUAGGGUCAUGAUUUCGGCCAACAUUGCAUUGCGGAGCACUCCCAAGGAAUCAACAUGGAGGGAUUUUUUUUUGUCAAAGGUAACAGGUCUUGUUACGCUAGAUAGAGAUAAAGGAGAUUACAAUGUUGAAGGAAUUACAUGAGUGAGGGGAAACAAAGUGUCAUUAUUUGGGUAAUUAAGAGCCGUACGAGCCACUAAAUGGACAACACUAUUACUCAAACAAGAUACAUGAUGAAGCAAGACUAAAGGAAAGGCCCGUAGUAAAUCUCGGCAUUCUGGAAGAACUUGACCCACCCUAAUGUCCAAAAAAGUGGAAUUGAUGAGGCAAACAACUUCUGCCGAAUCAGAGAAGAUGGAGAAGCUUUCCAGAUACCGAAAUUGAGCAACAUACAAAACUUGUCGAAUUUUCACGAACUCUAGAAGAAGCGGAUCCGUGAAAUGCGGGAAGACCUGUGCUGUCCCAGAAACUAAGGUACCACACGAUCAACGGACUACCAUGCCAAUCGCACCAUAAAAAGGGACUAGAUCAAAGACCUUAAUUGCAGCAUGAACAUGCAUGUUCCAUUCAACUGGCAAAGUAGGUGGGACUGAACAUCCUUGGGAGGAAGAAAAAUGUUGCACCUGCAUCCCGGUUCGCUGUUGCAUAUGCUGGAAAGCCUCCUGCCAUUGAAUCUGAAAUUGUCGGAGGAGUGCAUCGAUAGAGUGCUAGUAGUUAUCAAAGACCACCAUGUUCCUGGACUUCCACGCACGCCACCAUGAAAACAUUAAGUUCGAAGAAUUGUUAGGAUCUGUCUUGUGAAGUCAACGCCAAAGAUUAGAUUAAUGAUCAAGUUCUCGAGAAGAUCGGCGAAAUUAGGAUUUUCAUAAUUUUUUGUGUAAACCUAGAUUCAGUGUCUUCCUCUUCCGAAUUUGAUUUUUCUAUCAAGAUUAUAAGCGGCUAAACUUCUCUUGCUUAGAUUAGAUAACCCUAGGUUAAUUCCUAUGAAUGAAUGAUUUGAUACGUUUGACGAUUUAUGCGAGUUGGAUGGAUUUCAUUGCAUAUUUGAUUUUGUUUCCGAUUUGUUCUUGCCUGAUCAAUUUGAAUUAAAUCUCUGUUAGAUUUGUCUUAGUCCCGCGAGAGCUUGCAUAUCUAGAACGCCGAAAUCAAAUAACUAGGUUAGACGUUAACCGUCAUCCGGGAGCGAAUGAACUAGUCUGUCGUGUGCGUAAUUCUGAAUCGGUAAAUCGCCUAGCAGGUGCUAGAUCUUUGUUUCGAAAGAGCGGACUAGAAUACUAGAUAGGUAGCAAAUUAGUAGACCCGAAAUGGCGUGAUUUGAUUAGUGAAGAAUUGCGACAGUGUAAUGCAUCUAUCUUGUUUUGUUUAAAUCGUGGAAUUUGUCUGUCAUUUGUGAAUUAGCAUUGCCUAGGGGAAUUUGAGAUCUAAGCAGUUUCAUCUUUAAUUCUCUAAACUCUUAUCGUGCAAUCUUGCAACCCAUUUAUUUUAAUGCAAUCUUCAUCUUUCUUUUUGACUGGUUGAUUGAUCCUCGUAGCACCUAAACCCUCAUUCAUUAAUAUUUCGAUUAGUACUAAUUAUAACUUUGAGUAAGAUACUUAAAGAGACCCUAUGGAGAUUCGACCCGGUUAAUAAUUAACCGGUUUAUUUUAAGAACGCAUAAAAACGUUCAUUAAUGGUAGCAGGUGCAAAGAUUGUGGAGAGUAUCCCUGACGAGGGAGCCACCAGUUCCCGACAAGAGUUGUUGUCAUUCCAGCUCCAGGGGCCUAUCCAGGCGAACCCCUUCCAUCAUAGAUGUAGAUAAGGUCGCAGAGACGACGAUCAUGUCUGGAUUUUCGUCCAACAUAUCAUCUGGUAUCAGUCCCAGAUCCAGAGCAUGUGCCGAAAAAUCAGCGACGGUUAAUGGCACUUCUCUCUUUAAUUUCUUUGGAGUAGAGGAUGAAUCGGCCCCAUCUUCAGCAUCUCCAGUCGGAGAGAGCUUUCUCUUCUUAUCCACAAGCAUCAGAUCUUGUAAGCCUGGAAUAGAUAAAUCAAAAGACGAAGAUGAUUGAGCGAGAAGAUUUUGAUAAAACGGUGGAACAAAGCAACCAAAAACAGUUGAGGUACACCAAAAAAGAUAGUUACCAUUGUCUCAAUACGGUUUGAAAGGAGGCCUGCGAGACAGAUGCGUUAGUGAGGGGGGAUACUCAAUGACAAUAGAUAAGGGGGAGUCAAGUACAGAGCAAAGAAACGGAGAAUGAAAGAACCGCGUGAUCUCAGCCGCUGAGAUUUCAGAGGGAGGAUUGGCUAGUGAUGAACUAGUCCCCUGCUCUUCCGGAAUUGCCUUAACAAGCCAGUCGACCGGGACAUAAGUCUGGAAGAUUGCUGGUAGGGGAGCAAGAUACUUAUUCUUUUUGCUUUGAAGUCGAAGCCUCCGUGUAAUUGGGUUUCUCAACCUUAUGACCAUAUGGCUUAGCAUGCAUCCAAUCGUGCCACUCCUAUGGAUUCCACGAAAUAACAGCGGAGUAGGGACAGUGACCAUGCUCAUGCCCGAGCAGACCACAUAUGUAACAGACGUACAAUAUGAACAUCCUCAUACCUUAGUUUGACCCACAUGGGUUUUCCCCCCCCAAAGCGAGCCUGGAUACGGCCUUGCAGACUUCGGAGGAGGUCAAUUUUGACUAUACACUUAACAAAGUGGAGGCCCUGACCAUCGGGACGAGUGGAGAAGACAUCCGCACCAAUCACGGACCCUAAGGGACGGAGCAGACGAAGGCCAAAAGUGCCUGUAUUGCAAUGCUCUGGCAGAUUCUUGAGUUGGAUCGUCAACGGCAUGAAACACAGCCUAUCAAUUAGGUCAUGAGACAGAGUCUCCCAGGCAACCAAAUGCAUAAUUUCACUUUUGAACGUCCAAGGUUGUUUCUCGAAAACACUUGCUCGGUCCGGCUAUGAAGCGAAGACAAAUUGAAUGAGCCCAUGGCUGACCUCGAAGACCUGAAUAGAAUGAGGAUUCAGCCUCCAAGAGCGAGCCAUAGUUUGAAGCACAGAGUGAACCGGUUUCGGCAUCCCCCAGAAAAUUCUGCCGAUGAGACUCUGGUGCGUUUUGGCGCGCACAUCUGUGUCCUCGUCAUCAGAGAAAUCAACAGUGAAAGAACCCUACGGAAUGUUAUCCGGAAUUGGAUUCAUGAUGUCGUGUGAGAAGGAGUAACUAUGAAUGGAGGAAAAAGAGAAAUUAAGGAUCUGGAACAAAUAGCCUAUAAAUAGGAAACCAGAGAUAGCACCUAUGAAAAAAUGAUGAUGUACUGACAGACCGAUAAAAGGUCAAGUAUUGAGAGGGACAACAAAAAUCCUGAAAAAACGACGUCGAGCGGGAUGGUGAAAGAAGGGUGGAAGAGAAGAAAGCGAUGGAGAAAAAUGAAGAGAGAGAACAGAAAAAACGAGAGAGACGCAACUUUUUGUCCAUCGCCAAAAAUCAAACGACAUGGAGGGAAUGACACUCACUCGUCUAUUCCAUCAAAAAGAAAAAUAAUUUUGCAAAAGGCAAAAACAGCAAAAGUCCUCCUUUUUCGUUUCAGGUAAAGAAAAAGCAAAAAUCAAGAAAGUCGAUAGCAUUGCCCGUUGCCGCUGUCGCAACUCGAAAUCGAAAUCGAAAACUGACAGUUCCUAAAAUUAAACAACCUGAACCCUAAUUUUCUCCCACCUCCGCCAUUCCACAAUCCAGUCAAAUUUCUUUCUCCGGUCAAUUUCUUCUUCAUUUCACUCUCCAGUAGACAACCGACGGCGAUGAUUCGGGAGGCCGCCGAUGUCCAUAGACUGCCGCAUUUCUUUCUACCCUCAAAACCUACUCCCACCACCACUCCCUCGACCCCGUGACCGCCGAUGGCUCGACAGCUACUUAGCCACCGCCUUGCUUCUCACCGCUGCUCUCAUCCUUUCCACCGCCGCCUGCCUCUCUCUCGUCUUCUCCAGACCAGCCACCCCUUGUUCCCGCCGCCGCAACCUCCCCGACGGUUUCACAAAAACCACCACCGCCGCCGCCUCUUCCGUCCAGUACCAAUCGCCGCCUCCACUCGCUGGAUUCCCCCGCAACCUCUCGCGUGGUAGUAGUCAAGAUCACUUGACGCUGGAACACUUGGUGUUCGGUAUAGCCGGAUCUUCGCAGCUAUGGGAGCGGCGGAAGGAGUUCAUUCGUCUCUGGUGGCGUCCCGACGAGAUGCGUGGCCACGUUUGGGUCGAAGAGAAGCUCGCCGCCGUUGAAUCGGACGAAUCGCUGCCUCCAAUCAUGGUAUCUGAGGACACGUCGCGUUUUCGUUAUACGCAUCCCUCGGGCCAUCCUUCUGGACUUCGGAUCUCUCGGAUCCUAGCCGAGAGCUUCCGCCUCGGACUCCCCCAUGUACGGUGGUUCGUCCUCGGAGACGACGAUACAAUUUUCAACCCUGAUAAUUUGGUUGCGGUUCUGAGUAAGUAUGAUUCCUCUGAGAUGGUGUAUAUUGGAUCUCCUUCCGAGAGUCAUUCUGCCAACAAUUAUUUCAGCCAUUCCAUGGCCUACGGCGGCGGUGGGAUUGCCAUUAGCCGUCCACUUGCCGCGGCUCUCUCAAACAUUUUAGAUGACUGUAUAGAUAGAUACCAUGGCUUCUACGGCAGCGACGAUCGACUCCAUGCUUGCAUUUCCGAGCUCGGCGUUCCUUUGUCAAGAGAGCAUGGAUUCCACCAGGUACAAAUACAAUGUUGAUUCUUUUGCAUAUUUGAAUUGUUUCAGCUUAACUGUUAAGUUUUCCAUUGCAAACACUUAUUGACAGAAUCACAGUACCAUCCAUCAGAAGCUAUAUGGAAAUUCUUAUCCAAUUCAGUGAUUUUCUUAUGGCAGUUUGACAUCAGAGGCAGUGCACUUGGUCUACUAUCUGCCCACCCGAUUGCACCCUUUGUCUCGAUUCACCAUGUCGAAGCUAUUGAUCCACUUUACCCGGGUCUAACCAAGCUAGAGAGUCUCAGGCUCUUCACAAAGGCCAUGAGUCUUGAUCCCACUAGCUUCUUGCAGAGAUCGAUUUGCUACGACCAUGGUCACCACCUUUCCUUUGUUGUCUCGAUUGGGUAUGUUGUACAGGUGUUCCCUGGCAUUGUGCUUCCGCGUGUUCUUGAUCGCUCGGAGAAGUCCUACUCGGCGUGGAACGGUAAGACUAAGAGGAACGAGUUCGAUAUGGAUACCCGAGAUCCUUACAAAUCUUAUUGCAAGAGGCCCAUCUUCUUUUUCUUAAAAGAUGCGGUUAAACAGGAUAACGAUACGUUGGGGACGUAUCAACGAGCUAAGCUGAACGAUGAUUUGAAAAGAAGAGUCUUUUGCUUUCCGAAAUCCAGUCCUCUCCCUCAUGUGGCUAGCAUUCGCGUGUUGGCUCGUCCAUUGAGGAAGAAUUGGCACCUGGUGAGUUGAAGUAAACGCCUGGUGUCUGCAAAAAAUCAGCAGCUUUGAUUGUGUAGUCAGUCUUCUCGAUUAAUAUUCUGAGAUUUACUGGAACAGGUUCCCCGACGCCUCUGUUGCAGACUAGACUAUGCAAGUAAUGAAAUAGUUGUUGCAGAGUGUGAAAAGGGAUCACGAGGCUCUGUCACAGAUUCGACACAAGUGAUUAGCAGACCUUCAUGAUCUUGAUGUUGAGAAUGUCGCGACUGAAAAGAUGCUACCUAUAGGAAAGGGGGUUAGCUACGUUGGAUUCUACUCCUUGCAGGAGUUUACUCUUUGGCCCUGAUCCUUCACAGCACCGAGCAAGUAAUUUCACUGAUUGAAGGUGAAGUCAAGAUUAGUCCCGCUCGCGAACUAGUAAGCCUUUGCUAACCUAACCUCACUGCUUGAGUUUUGCUUGGAAGUUUCACAUUUAUGUAAAAGUUGAGAGAUUGAUGGAGAUUGUUUGGUUGAGAGCUUUGCUUUCGUGUCGUACCUUGUACUGCUUGUAAUUUAUGUAUCCAUUCCUGUCCGUUUUAGGUCAUGUAGUACGUUUGAGGAGGAAAUAGGCAUCUUUCGUUCAUUGUUUCAGUGGCAUACUAAUCUGUUGUUGUCUAAGAUUAGAUUGGGAGCCUAUGUGCUUCGGUGCUUAUACCGAGCAACAUUAUAUAAAGAACAUACGUGGGAGAUGACAACAUGUUUCACAACAGAACUAUUUCAUGCUACACAAGACCUACAACCUCUACCUACCUUAAUCCAACUCCGGCUUGGUUUUACUCAUUUUCAUCUUUGCUUUGAACCUCAAUUUCACCAGCAGUGUCUGUACCGUGUUUGAGAAAUUUCCAGCAGCCAUGAACACCAACAGGAUUCCGCAGAAUAUUACCUAUCACCAGAUCUCGCCUGUUAGUAGACUGCACCUUGUAUGGUAAAUAGAGGUUGCCUAAAGUUGCUUGUUUCGGCAACCAGACUAGUAAUCAACAUGAGAAAGGAAGAACUAUAACCUGCCACUCGGUGACAACCCUCGCCAAUGCAGUUCUCAGCAACUGCAAUCCAACAUAUGCCUCAAACCCCUAACAAAGAAAAAACCAACAACACCCAAUAUGCCAAACGUUUCUAGAACUUGGUUUUUAGAGCUUUGAAAUUACUUGGAUGGAGCACCAGAAUGAGAAACAAUCAUUCUCGAAAAAAGAUAAGAGCUUCUGGUUAAAUGCUUCACCUGUAAAAUAAAGAGAAUAGGUGCCAACAACCACAAUUGGCCAUCUACACCAGCAGUUUCUCCCCAUACUACAUCCAUUCUCUUUGCCUGCAAAAGGCCAACAUUUUAGAUGAACAUACAUGGACCCGUAUACGAACGAAUGGCGUUGGAUAAGAUUAAGGGUAUUGCAAUACCUUCCCCAAUGCAAUUCGAGUGUAAAGUCUCUGUCGCUGGUAUCUGUUCUGUAAAAGCAUUGCGACUCCUUGCAUCAUAGCCCAUUGCAAGAAGAGUUCUACCCCUCUCUGAAAACUACUGAGUUAUUACAUGAACAACCAAACCCAAUAAGAACAGUAGGACACGGCAAAGUACGUAGGAACCUGUUUCUGGGCACAAUUGGGCUGUCCUUUUAUCUCCCAUGUAAGGCUUACUAAGGCCAUAAUCAUAGCACAAUAGUGAUGGUAGAUCCACCUGGGAAAAAUAAUGAAUUGCACAAGCAGCUGCUUAAAUGAGGCUACGUCGUUUAAGAGCAUCAGUUUACUUUUCUACAUUACAUUUUUUUUGGUGAAAAAAAUGACAACUUUUCUACAUUACAUGAUUCAAGAGGCGGCUUAGGUUUGUAUACGAAAAAACACAGAGGUACUCGUUUGGAAGUGAAAUGUGAAACUUUAUCUGUUGUUGACUGAUGCAUACCCAUAAUAGUCUGUGAUUGGUCCAAGUAGUUUCUGCAACCAGUAUGUACUAUCAACCAACACGUGAACUGUAAUAAACAAUUCUAAGUGGCUUCUCCAAGAUUUCCUCAAAGCUUCAGAUAUCCAAAACAAUGUAAACAAGUGAACUCUGAAACUUUCUUCCGACUUAUCUUAAGUCUUAAAAUUAGGCUAAAAUAUGGCAAAUAUCAAGUAUUUUUCACCGAUUUCAAAGACCAAAGUUUGAGUUGGUGAAAGUAACUGGCUACUGAUAGAGAGAGGGAUAUUUCAAUUACCAGGGACGGAUAUCACUUCCAUUGGCCCUCAGUAUGUUUUCUCGCAACGCCAACCCGGUAUAGAGGAAUAAUAACCAUGACUGAAGAGUGGAAAAAAUUGAAAAAGGUUAGAAGAUUGGUCAAUCAAGACAAAUUCCAAAGUAGAAUAAAAACGUGAUUACCUGAUACAGUUGAACAGGGAACGAUGGCAAGCACCCGUCCCACACCCAAGACCUCAUAAUCAGUAGAGCUGAUGGGAACAGCAGAAAUAGAAGGGCAGUUCUAUCCUGCUCCAGAGAGACAGAGAGCACAUUAUGAUUACUUAACAGGCUGGAGAAAUUGUCUUAUGACCCCAAUUAACUACAAACUUCCAGACUAAAAAAACAUGGAAAUUACAGGAAUACGAGGAGAAGGGAGACUGAUAUAGAUAAAGCAUACCCUAUAACUGUUGUACUCUUCUUUAACCUUCAAUUGGACGUCUUUUCGAGACGCUUGUACGUUAAUAGGGCCCAGAAACAUCCUGAGAAAUCUUCCUGUAAGGAUGAGUGGGGUUAGGUGAGUAAGCUCGGAGUAGAAUUAACAGCUUGCAGUGCUUUGAAGUAGAUCAAUUUUAAACAAAAAUGAAGCUGAAGAAGUACCAUGGCCCUUGGAAGGAAGAAACGCAGCUGCUUCCCCAUCGGAAAUCAUGCAUUUAGCUCUCUGCAACUCCUCCUCCAGCUGUGACAACAAAGAAGCAAUCAAUCAGAUAAGAAGAAAACCCAGCCGACAUUAUCAUAGUCUACAGCAGGAGAGGAAGUGAAGUGAAGUGAAGUUCCGGUCAAGUGAAGAGAAUGGAAAUGAAUGAAUUACCUUGUCAGCGAGCUUGGCAUCGACGAGGCGGCGAGAGACGAGGGAGUGAAGACGAGAACGGCAGCGGUGGAUUGAGGAGUCGACGGAGUUAGCGCGUUGGCGGAGCGAUUGUUCAUCGUUGGAGGAAGUAUAGAUGUGAGAGGCAGCCGAUUCCUGAAGCUGCUUCGCCUCUUCCACUACUCUCCCCGCCUCUUGUUCCACGUUGCUCGCCGAUUCAUCUGGCGUAGAAUUUCGGCCAGCGUCCAUCACUUCUGAUUCUUUGUUUAGUCUUUUACCCCUGCUCCUCCCUUUCUCCGGCGAAAGGAGUGGAGUCGGAUCUGAGUCGGCGAUCAGGUGUAGAUGGAAACAGCGAUAACCUAAGCAAAACGAAAUAACGGAGCAGCAGAAAUUGUUUGCAGUCUCUCGGAAAACCUUCGGCCAGAGGAGGAGAGCGGAUAUUCUGACUAGAACCUUAAGCGUUUGCUUUGAUUAGCCUUCCCUUCCCUAAAAGAUGCUCAAAUAUUUUGAUUCUGUGUUGGUACUCUGGCUCGCUCGCUCACUCUAUCUCCCGCAAUUUUAGCCCUACAGACCCGGUCUUCCCACAUAUGAAGCUAGAUUUUGCCGCUUCACAUCUCCCUUCGAACAGCUCGCUGGUCAAAGCAGAGAACUCACUGAGCAACUCAGGCGAAAAAGCGUAUUCACGAUCCGAUUCGAUCAGAAACAACAGUCACCAUUACCCUGGUAAUCCUUCAUAAGCUCGUCUCCAAGGUAGUCGUCACUCCUGGUCUAAGUUCCGAGGAAAGGUAAAACGAUUUUCGUUAGGUUUUAUGGAUUUGAAAUUUUAAGCAAUCAUGAAGAGAAGUAAAAGGAUCAGCAAGGAUUCUGAAGGAAUCGACCUGCUAAGUGAUCUUCCUGACGGUGUUUUGCAUCACAUUCUUUCCUUUCUCGACACUAAAUCUUCGAUUCAAAGCUGCAUUCUAUCGAGGAGGUGGAGAUGUCUGUGGAAAUAUGUUCCCGUUCUCACAUUCCGCACAAGCUCGGGCGGGAGUGACCUGGAUUUCGGGAAAUAUGGGAAUCAAGUUCUAUCUCUUCGUUUGGAUUGUAAUGUCUACAAGAUUACGUGUGAAUUCAAUACACCAUAUAGGAUGGAUCUGUUUGAUAGGAGCAUGAAAUAUGGGGCCUCUCAAGGUGUCCAACACUUAUUUUUGGCUGCCAAUUUGUAUGGCGGUGUAGAUCUGAAGGCCAGUCCAGCUCUUUGCAAGUGCUAUCAAUCUCUAAAAGUUCUGGAAUUAGAACAAACAUUUUUAGACGAUACAGUCAGUUGGAUUGUUUUCUGGUUUACAACAACUUGAAUCUCUUACUUUGAGGUACUGCAUCUUCAAGGUGUUCGGGUUUGAUAGUGAUGGUUUUGAUAAUCUUUCCAAAUUGGAAAGCCUAAAGGUGAUAGGUUGCACUCAGAUCAAGCUUAGUAUUUUUAAAAUUUAUGUAGCCCAACUUCUAAACUUGCAAAUAGAUGGAGGAUCAUCAGACUGUAUUGGAAUUGUCACACCUAAGCUCCAAUCUUUGUGUUUUAAGUACAGGUGUUUUGGCGAUUUGCUACCAGACUUCUCCAAGUCGUAUCUCCCUUCCCUCGGUCAUGCAGACAUGGACUUAUUUGAGCAUCGAUGUAAACUUUCAAAGAGCUAUAGUGAUAAUGAUUCCGAGAAGGAUCUGCUGCAGCUCAAGUGGUGUGUAAGCUUGUUCAAUGUGUGUGUCUAAUGUGCAAUCCCUCAAUUUGCGAAUUGAACCCUUAGAGGUAAUGUUACCUGUUACAUGCCUUGUAGUUCCAUACAUUUACUAUGUUCCUGCACUCUAUAUAUGUUCCAGUAAUUUUUUUGUUGAAAGCUUUUCUUUUUUGUUUUGUUGUUCUACUCCGUAGUGGUUGAUCCAGACUUGUGACAUGGUGAAACUUCAACCAUCUCCCUUUAAGCGAAUGAAGUCUUUCAAUUUCAAGUCUUUUCAAGGAUCUCAUAACCUACCACAUCAAGUCAUGCAUUACUUUCUUGAAGGCUCUCGUAAUGAAGAUGAGCAAUUUACGGCUAAGGAGGAAUGUUGUUGAACCUAAAAACAAACGACUCUAAACAAUUUGUUUGGAAUUUUUUUGAUGAUGUGCACUGAUUGAGUACAUAUAGAGGUAUGUUCUGUUUUGCAGUUUUUGCCUUCCUUUUCUGUUCUUUUAUGCUUUGUUUCUUGUCUAUUGAACUUGUGAACACAGAAGUUGAUCAAUGGAUUAAAAGACUUCAUGCCCUGUCUCCUGUUGCAGAUAUGAUGGCUUUAUGUGGAACAUGUAAGAUCUGGUGGAUGAAUGAGGAGAUCUGGAAAAGACACAUUGGUCGUCAACUCCAUGCAAUCCAUAACAAGAGUACUAGUUACUGCUUAUUACCGACUCUGAUUGGUUAUGCUUUCUAUUCAGAAACUUUUUGUCAACCUUAGUAAACGUACGAGUAGAGUAGCCAAGGUUGCAGUAGUCAGUCAUGGUAGAGUAGUUAACUGCUUAUUAACAUUUGAAGUUAGAAUUCAGUGUGUCCUUGUAUUGCAGGCAGACAUUGUAAUGGUAUUACUAUUAUCAUCAAUAUUAAGAAAAGCAGCAAAGGAACUGCUCAAGAAACUCGUCUCUGUUCAUCCUGAACUUACACUUCUAAGUAGUACUAAUAAUACUACAAGGAUGUCUGUUCAAGUUCAAAUUUCAGCUUAAACUCUGUGUAGCAGCUGCUGCAAUAUAUCUUUCUACUGGUGGCUUUUGUCAUGUGAAUGAAUCAUUCACAUGUUGGAACUUACCAGUUUAUGAUUAUCAUUUGCAACUUCAUACAUGAUCAUUCUUACUUGUAUAAAAAAUGUUGUAUCGCCCGAAUUUGGGAACCAUCGUUGGUAACUCUCGUAUGGUGGAGAUUUGCGUUGACCUUGUUUUUUCGGGAUGCUUCACAAUAGCCAUGUUUUAAUACGGAAUAAUCGAUUUAGACGCGCACCAAUAUAAAAUAUAAAUUUAGACAAUGCCUCGGACGAUCAUCUCUCAUCUCUUGCUUCGAUCCGAAUAAGUCGGUAAUUUAUUUUUUCAUUUGGCCGUUGAUCGCUCGAUGGGUUGAAUAGCCGUUGUUGACCCGUCAUAGCCUCACCCUUUGGCUCGACCAGUUCGGUUCUUUUUUCAAAUAUUGUAAAUUAAUUAAAUUAUUUAAAAAACGAAGUCUAAUUUUUAAUUCUAGUAUAGUAUUAUAUUUAUCAACUAGUUCUUAGAAUUAUAAUUUAUGAUUAGUGUUUUUAUUUUACAAUAUACUUUAUGAAGUAUUGAACCCCACUGAGUUUGUAUUACAUCAAUAAGUCAUUUAGGAGGUGCAUUCCCCUUAAACGGGGAUGCAUGGAACCUUGAUUGACGAGCAAACUCGUGAGCAACCUUAUUCCGCUCUUUCCUAAUAUGUUUAAAGCUAAACCCCUCCCAGGCACGAAAAAGGCCUCUACACAUUCGAAUUACAUCCCCAAACUCGGUGAGGUCUUCGUCAGUCCCAAGAGCAUCAUGCAUUACUACCUGGGAGUCUCCGUUAAAGAUCACAUUUUCAUAGCCCAUUAAUAUCACUCCUCUCAUAGCAAGCAACAAAGCUACUGCCUCUCCCGGCAUAACAGUCCACAUACCUGCAUGGAUACGCGUGUGGAAAUGAAGUUGUGAACCUGCGUGAUCCUGCAGCACCCAGCUUGUACCUGUUAUGUGUAUCUCCGGAAAAAUGGUCGUGUCGAAGUUACAUUUGAGUUUAUUAGUCGGCGGAUUAUGCCAUUUAAGGCAGUAGAAGGGUUUCGAUGUCGUGGUUUUGUUAAUCAUUCUAACCGCUUGCCAGUCGUGCAAAAAGUUCAGACCCUCCUUGACUACAGCGAUCGGGUUGCAUUCGAUUCGCUUCCAGACACGAUUGUUUCAUUCCUUCCAUAUGCACCAUAAACCUACCGCCACUUUCUGGCUCACUUGCUCCGUCUUGGUCUUGAGAAUAUUCCACAACCAUUGCUCCGCUUCCAUCACCGUCGAGCUAUGCCUCUGGAUUUUAUCAUCAAUCUCGAGCUAACACCACACCUGUUUGUCAAAUGGGCAUUCGAUGAAGAUGUGCCAGCAUUCUUCGAAAUCAGCUGCACAUAUACCGCAUGCAGCCUGCAUUCCUUUUCGUCUAAGCCUGCCGCGGGUAGGUAUAACAUCAUGUGCUAACCGCCAGAGAAAAUGUCGCAACUUAGGAGGAGUUUGUAGAUCCCAUAGCUUGUUCCAUUCUCAUUUUUUAUAAUGUUCCGAACGAUCUACCAUGUGUUUCAUAUAGACCCGAUAUGCUGAGCGUACCGUAUACUGGCUGUUUUUGCUAAAGCUCCAUACCCGGGGAUCAUACCUCGUCGCCACACUCAUAGGUAUCGCAACGAUCUCCUUUUGAUACCUACUCGUAAACAAUUGUUGAAUAAGGUCAAGGUCCCAUUCCUGUGAGUCUUCUCAGAAAAGAUGGAAAACCCGAGCUUCCUCCGAACUUGCUGGCAUUACAGAUUCGAGUUUGUGAUUUCCAUCCAGUGUUAAAAGCCAUGGGUCCCCGCAGAUUUGGAUGGAUCUUCCAUCACCAAUUCGCCAGCGGCUGCCGAUCGUUAGAAUUUGUUGCGUGUUCCAAAGGCUCCUCCAUACAAAACUCGGGUUGUGACCCAAUCCUGCAGACAUGAAAUCAGUGUCGGGAUAAUAUUUUUCUCUAUAAAUUCAACUAACCAGAGAGGUCGGACUUGACAUUAAUCUCCAUGCUUGUUUCCCUAGCAAAGCCAGGUUGAAACCUUUCGAAUCUCGAAAACCCAUACCACCAACGUCUUUCCGAAUAACUAGUCUUUGCCACUUCAUCCAGGCUACACCUAUCCCCGUAAACCGUCAUGCUCUCCACCAAAAGGCGCUUAACAUGCGUUCAAACUCCUCAAUAAUACCAUCCAGUAGUAAAAAAAACAUUCAUGAUAUACAUAGGAAGUGCUUGGAUCACCUGCUUUGUAAAGUGACGUUGGUCGCCUUGCUAAAUAAGACUCCAGAUUUCUCGAAAUUUAAAUUGUUCGGAUGCGUAGAGUACACAUCUAAUAUACUUCUGAGCCUUCUAGCCUCUUCGGCCGUUGCUUGAUAAAAGAAAAGAGAAUCAUCUGGGAAUAAGAGAUGGGACACCCUAGGGGCUCUUCUACAGACCUGAUACCCAUGCCACUGACCAUCACGCGCUGCCUGGCGAAUAGAAGUAGUGAGACCCUCCGUACAAAGUAUAAAGAGAAAGGGGGACAGUGGGCAUCCCUGUCGUAGGCCACGCUCCGGAGUGAUAGUUCCAAAUCUACCAUUUCGAACUACCAUCGAGUAUUGAACUGAUCGCACACACAUCACCAUCCACUUGAUCCAAGUACUAUGGAAUCCCAUGCGUAUUAGAAUGGCUUCAAGAUAGCUCCACUCCACUCUAUCAUACGCCUUAGAUAUGUCAAUCUUCAAUGCUACACUCCCCAUGAUGCUUGCCGGUUUUGUUGCCAUACUAUGAAUGGGUUCAAAUGCGAUCAUCACAUUAUCAAUGAUGGAUCGACCUUGUACAAAAGCAAACUGUUCCUCCUGGACUAACUGAGGCAUAACUUUACGAAACCGAUUUUCUAACAGUUUCGCCAAGAUGCAAUAUCUUACAUUACACAGUGAGAUUGGCCUAAGAUCCUUCAUCGUUUCCGGAGAGUCCACAUUCGGAAGUAGAAUGAUAUUUGUGUGUUGCACCUCUUCCCGAAUCACACCCUCCCCGAGUCAUUCUCUACAUUCCUGACAUAUUGCUGGACCCACCACAUCCCAGUAGUCCUGGUAUAAUGUCGGAUUAAAACCAUCAGAGCCUUGCGACUUAUUCGGUCCUAUGGAGACCUUGGCAGAUAUCAAGACAGCAGCCUUGAGGGGAGAACACUUGAAAGGUGUAAGGAAGGGGGAGAGCCAGGCUUGGCAAGAGGAGAAGAAGAGAAAGGCGGUGUCAGGCGGAUUGGAGCUGGUGUCAGCACCCCUUAUGAGGAAGGACACACAUCGUGGUGCUCCUAGAACCCAUACUCACUUCUCUGCCUCUGUCACCCUGAGAGUGCUGCAGAAGCAAUCCACUGCCGGGUUUGACAGUCAUAUUUGCCCGGAGUGUGAGAUGUGACAUGGGGAGCGUUUCUGAAGAAAGUAGGAGUAUGUUACAGCUGUGGGCAACCAAGGCACUUUCCUCGGGAGUGCAUUGAGUUAAGAAAGCCUGCAGCAUCAAAGGCGACAAUGGAGUAGAGGAGAGCUCCUUAUGGGAGCAGGAACAGAGGUGGAUGCUCUAAGGCUCCGCUGACAAGAGCCAAUGCAGUACCCUUAGGCCAGGGCACGUUGUAGAGAAGGAACACAGAGGCUCAGAGCAGGGUGUACAUCACCAGAGUUGAGGCCGCCCCAAAUACCAUCACGGGUACAGUUUUCCUUUUUGGCCGAUCUUUUCAUGUCUUGUUUGAUACGAGUGUUUCACACUCUUUCAUCUCAACUGUUGUCAUUCGAGUUUUACUAGUAUUUCCUACUAGGAUGAGUAGACCUUUUAGAGUGUGUACCCAGUGGGGAAGACUCUACUGGUAGAGUCUUGGGUAGAAGGAGCUGUUCUGCUCUUUAAGGAUAGAGAGUUCACUGCGAAUCUCAUCGUUCUACCUUUUGAUGAGUUCGAUGUGAUUUUGGGGAUGGAUUGGCCGAGGCACCAUCGAGCCUUAGUAGAUUAUACGAAGAAGAUGAUUAGGUUCUUGAUACCUAAGUAGGAGGAUGUAGUCAUCAUAGGGAUUCAGCCGCAGAUACACCAUAGACGUCCUUUUAUUUCGGCCUUGAAGGCUGAGAUAUUGAUUAGGGGUGGAUGUGAGACUUUCCUAGCUCACGUCACCCUUGAUGCAAAGGGACAUAUUAAGGAUGUGCCAGUAGUUCAGGAAUUUUCAGAUGUCUUUCUAGAUGACCUAUCAUAGGUACCGUUUGAGAGGGAGGUGACUUUCGAUAUAGAGCUCGUGCAGGCUAAACACCCUAUAUUCAUAGCCCCCUACCACAUGGCACCAGUAGAGCUGAAGAAGCUCAAGAGCAGUUGUUAGAGUUGUUGGAGAAGGGUUUCAUCCGCCCACGUUUGUCACCCUGGGGGUGCGCCAGUGUUGUUUGUGAAAAAAAGGAUGGAUCUAUGCGGAUGUGCAUCGAUUAUGAAAGGCUGAAUCAGGUGACCGUGAAGAACAAGUAUCCUCUUUCGUGCAUUGAUGACAUGUUAGAUCAACUUCAGGGAGCAAGAGUGUUCUCUAAGAUCGAUCUAAGGUCGGGGUACCACCAGCUGAAGGUUAUAGAGGAAGUUGUUCCUAAAACGACAUUUUGAACCAGGUAUGGCCACUACGAGUACCAAUUCCUCUGCAGCUUUCAUGGCAAUGAUAAACAAGGUGUUCCAUGAGUACUCAGAUAAAUUUUUCAUAGUAUUCAUUAAUGACAUCUUGGUCUACUUCAAGAUGGAGGAUGAGCAUGUAGAGCCUUUUGAGAGCAGUUCUGCCUAUUAUGAGGAGAGAGCAUUUGCAUGUCAAGUUCUCUAAGUGCGAGUUCGGGCUGAGGGAGGUGUUAUUCCUAGGACAUUUGAUCAGUGAUCGGGGCAUUGAGAUGGACCCAAAGAAAGUGGAGGCGAUAGUAGAUUGGUCCCCGCCUAGUAGUGUGACUGAGGUGAGAAGUUUCCUAGGCAUGGCAAGGUACUAUAGAAAGUUUGUAGAGGGAUUCUCUAAGAUAGCAGGACCACUCCACAAGCUAAACAGGAAGGACACGCCUUUUGUUUGGAGUAACGCCUGUCAUGAUAGCUCUGAGGAGCUGAAGAGUUGGCUCACCAUUGUGCUAGUACGCACUUUGCCAGUUGCAAGUGGUGAGUAUGUUGUAAUAUGACCGACGAGCGAUGAUUGAUUCCAAGCAGAGGGGGUGACCUUCUUAAUCGGUCCCAGACUAAUAGGAUAGGAUUAGAGAUCAUUGAGGAAGUUUUAGAAGGCAAUCUAUCUUCUUCCUCCUUUCUCAAUCUUUUGAUUUGAAUCCUACAUAGGAAAAUCCUCUCAGGUUAGGAUUUGGGGAUUUUGGGAUACAAUCCUACUUUUGAUCUCAACAGGUCAUUCGGAUCAAGCAAUCAAGUUGUAGGGAGAGGACCACAGAUUAGCCUCUUCAGAGGAAAUCUUUUUAGAGGUAGUGGUUAGGAUUACUUUUCUGCUUUAUGCAAAGAAUUGUAAUUAGUUGUCCGAAAUCCUUGCUUGGAUUUUCAGGACUAUACAGUAGCAUGCGAUCUACAGUACAGUUUUUUGUGAUUCACAGUUGAGUAUUUCAGGCUGUGCAGUAGCGUGUGAUCUACUGCACAAACAGUUGUUAUUUUUUAGUAUAAGCUCACAACGAUGAACUGUGCGUGCGAUUCACAAUUCAUGUUUAGGAUAAGAAUCUAGUCUAAUUAGAUUAGCUCCUGCUAUACGUAGGUCGCCCACCUUUUGGAUUGUGCAAUCCCCCAAGAUUCAUUCAGGUCCAUACAGGACGUAAUAAGUUAACAAUCAGCGUUGCUCUCACCACUUUCAGGGUGGUUUCAUAGUCUGAUCCACCAUGAGAGCGUCCGCUCAUAGCUAGGGGUGGCUAACGUUAGGAUAAUACCUACAGGAUCACAUGGUCACUUUACUAGAUACUAGUUCAGUUCUUCACGUUUAAGCUUAGUUACUCAGUGUUUAUCGCUGAUCCCCGUCUCGUUUCUUCAUAUAUGACCAACCUUGGGACUUUAGGAGCAAAUGUUAUCUAAGAGAGCAGCACGAAUAGUGACGCCUCCAUGAAGUGACUCUGGGAGUAGAGAGAGGUACCUUGGAGGACCUCAAUUAUCCCUUUCAUUGUUUUCAUGUUUUUAGGCGUUUUCAUAUUUUCAGACAUUUCUUUGUUCCAUUUGUUUUUCAGACUUAUCUCUAGAUGUUGAGAUGUUUGCUUAUAUUUUGAUACUAGAUUUGAGCCUUAGACGCUCAUAUUACUUUUAAGCAGUUUUACUUAUGUUACGAGGCCUUGUAGUACAGUUGUUUUCAUGUGUAUCUUUGAGUUAUUAUGUGAUGGAGUGAACUCGCGAGUGUUGCAUGGAUCAAACCGAGUGGUUCGAUCGAAUAGUCUAGGGGCGGGUUUCACAUGGUGAUUGGGGAGGGAUGGCCGAUAGGGUUUUUUUUGUGAGUGGGUUGUUAAGUAGAAUAGGAAACUAACUAAAUAGUACUUUUACAUAUUUAUCCUUUUUAUUUUAGCUUUCAACACCAUAUACUUCAUCUAAUGGUGAAUAAUAAUGUUGUCAUGUGACAAUAAAAAGAGGUGUUGUCAUGGCAAGUUUUUUGCACACGUCAAACACUGGCCACGUCUCAGACGGGUCAUCCUAUAAAAAUUUGAUUAUCGAUCGAGUUACUUUUUGUUUAGCCUCGAUGAACUAUCCGUAGUCUGACAAGUUUGUUUGUAUUUUUUUCAAGUUGCGUAGGUCAUAUUUGGUCGGAUUUCUGAGUUUUGAAUAUUUGAAAACUUAACAAGGAGAAUUUGAUAAAUUUACAAUAUUAUAAAAGCGACGAAAUUCAAAUUUAAGUUUGAGACGAAUGCACAUCUUGUGGUUCAUGGUCUUAGGAGGAUAGAUGAGGAUUUGAUCGAAUUCAGAGAUAUGCUACAACGAUGUUAGGAGUUUCUGGAUGCUUUUCCUACUUUCUCGGUUACUUUUACUAGGAGAAACUGUAAUAUUGUAGCACAUGAAAUUGUUCAAUGCUCUGUUAACCGGCGGUCGGCUCUUGAUGGAGAUGUUCCUCCGUCCUAGUUGAGGGAGCUGCUGCAGGCUAUAUGUCUUUAUAUUCAUUAAUAAUACAAAACGAUCAUUUCGAAAAAAGAAUAACAAAUAACCCUUUACAUUAAAAAUUUAUGGUUCGUUUAUAUAUGUGGUAUUUUGGAAUAAAAUGAUGGGUUAUUUCAGACGGUGGUAUUUAUGAGUGCAAAGGGUUUGUGGUGUGAGAAUUAUCUUGUUUGGCUAAUGAGUUAUUCAAUGCGGUAUUUAAUAAUGAAAAUACCACAUUGUCGAAAUAGUGAGGUAAAAUACCACAUUCCGAAAUGCCACAUAUUUUGUUUUGGUUGUCAAAUGAAUUAUUUUGAUGAGAUAUUUGAAAUAACUCGAAAGUGAGUUAUUUGAAAUCUUACUGUCCAAAAUACCACAAAUUUUAUGUUGGAUGUCAAACGAGGUAUUUUGACAAAAAUAACACAAAACGAGUUAUUUUGGUUAAAAAAUCUCACACAAAUACCUCAUCGAUUUUUAGAAUGACAAAUAAAAAGCACUUUACAUUAGGGUAUUGGAUUUAAUCCAGAUAAUUAACUUUAAUAUUCCGAAGGUUUAACCUUUUUAUUUUUAAAGGUCCAGGUCGAUAAAAAAUUACAGGCAGUACCGAAAUCAAAUUCCAUGUCGUAAAUGCGAGUAAACUUUCGGGACUAUUAAAGUUAACGACCCGGUUUAAUCUUGAGUCAAUUUCUGCGUUCUAUAUAUAAAGUAAAAUAUACAGAGAGACCAAAAGAAACGAAUCUAAAACAAUUGGUAAACCCAAAAACCUUGAAUUUGUUCACGUUGGAAGAGUUGGUUGAUUUCCUUUCAAUUUCAGCUCUGCGCUCAAUUAUUUUAUUUUUACUGCUCUCAGUCACCGGAGUAGAAGAGAACUUUUUAUCAUAGUCUGCGGCAGCCGACGCCGAUUGUGGGAUUGAGCUAGACCUUAACCAGCGGGCAAACAAUCUAAGUGGAGGCCUGUCAUGGACCCCUCGAUAAUGAAGCUCCUCGAGGAAGACGAGGCAGGGGUUUUUUGCCUUCUAUGUUGUCGACCUGGGGUUUCUCAGAGUCUUGUUUUGGAACUGUGAUUAUGAUGUUGCUUUGUGCUUCGUUUUGCAGGAUGAAACGAUGCAUUCCGGUGCUGACGUCGAGGCUUUCCAGGCUGCUCUCAAUCGGGAUAUCGAAGGCGACAAAAAUCCCACUCCCCAGACACAUGAUUCGGGUAAUCCCACUUUUCCUCCCCGAUUUAGAAUGUCUUAGGUUAUUUGGAAGCUGUGGCAUUGCUCAUAGUUCAUGGGCUGGAUUAUGAUAGGGAGAUUCCUAUGGUUGGGAUACCAUGAAAUCAUGAAUGCCCAUUGCUCCAUUUCAGAGUUUUUGAAUUGCUGUAUGCAGUUGCUAGUGCAUCUUUUUAUUAUCUCUGAUAUGUUGCUGGAUGGGUAGUUUAGUGACGUGAAGCUCAUGAUGGUUACUUGGAUUAUGUUACCAGCAGUCUCGCUAUGGCCUUCUUUGUUAGUAUAAUGUCAGUUCAGCAGGCUGAAAACUUUAUUAUAAUGCUCAACUGAAAAAUGUGGUAGCUUUUCCAAAUGAAGGGAACCGAGAGUCGUCUCAGCCGCUUCAAAGCUGGCCGUCAAUUGGACAAGGUGGAAUUCCUGCGGGUUCAAGCAAUCAGGGGCUACUUAAUUUAUCACAUGCACAACAGUUAUCACACCAACAACAGCAAUCAUCUAUGGUGCUCGAUCAACGCUCAUCUGUAGCUGAGAAACAGCAGCAACUUAAUGAUGUGUCACAGGGACAAAAUGACCCUCCAACGAUACAUCAAAACCAACCCCAAGACAAUCUUCAACAGGUAAAGGUGGAACAGGCCGCUACUCAAACUCCCGGGACUACUGUGAUUUCAAUGUCUGAUAAAAGUCCUGCUCCAAUAUCUGAGCCUGGGAAAUCACAAAACCCUGCUGCUGAAUCCCAGUACCCGAAGUUCCCUAGGAUGCCCCAACAAAUGACAGGCACAGAACCGGUCGUGAGUCCAAAUAAUCAGGGAAAGCAAAUACCAUUUGUGAUGUUGUUCCCUGCCUUAAAACCCCAUCUUGAUAAGGACAAAGAGAUGCAGCUCGGGAUCAUCUUCAAUAAACUAAAGGUGGGUAUCUGCGGUGAUUGUAUACGUCAGUAAUUUGUUUACUCAUGUACCGUAUAUUUUCUGAAUUUUCUGCCACCUUUUGUGUUAGAGAAAUGAAAUCCCAAAAGAUCAAUUUGUCAGGCAUUUGAAGAAUAUCGUAGGGGAUCAAGUGCUGAAGCUGGCAAUUUCUCAGUGGCAAUCACAGGUAUGAAAAAAUAUAUUGAACGUGAGGAAUGUCUUGGUUGACAUUAGUUAAUACCAAUUUUUUUCUGGAAACGCAGCAUGGACCCAAACAAUCCCAGUUACAGUCUCAAGCUUUAGCUCGUCAACAAAAUGCCAGGAUACCCACCAGUUCUAAUCCCUCUCAACUUCCUGUUGCCCAUCCAUUUGCUCCUCAUCAGAAGGGACCAAGUACUUCUCCAGACACGGCUUACAAUGCUCAUUCAUCAGUCAAACCGCAGGCUGAUGGUUCAGCUCAUGUUCUUACCAUGACCGGUAAUCCCAAAACCCAACAAGUUGUUUCUCAUGCAGUCAACUUUAGCCGAAUGACUUCACCCAGUGCAAACAUAGUCAACCAACAUAGAGAUUCCUCUUCAGUUCCAACCCAAGGACUCAACAAGCAAAACCAACAACAUUCACACUUUCCACAGACUUCCUUUCCCAUGUAUGGUGGUACUGGAAGUAAUUUCCCCACAUAUUCUGGUACAGCAAAAAAUGCUUCAGGCGCAUCUAUGAAUCCACAUCAUCAAGGAAUUGGCAUAAAUCAAGUAGGAAAACCUAGCCAGGCAAUGAGCACCCUCAAUAGUGGCCCUAUCUCUCCUUAUCCUCCUAGCAAGACAACAUUGCAGCAAAAUCCAGUUCAUUGGCAAACAUCAACAAACAAAGACCAAAGUCGCACCCCAUUUUCUCCUAUGAAUUCUGUAAAACAGGAAGUUGUUGAGCGGGCUGGUGAGCAGUCACAGAAAUUGCAGUUUGGUAACCAUCGUGAGUUAUGGGCUGGUGCUGCGCAAGGAAACACAAAUUUGGGGAGUUUCAAAGAUGAUUCAGAUAAGCCUCCUUCAAGUGUCGGUUCCUUGAAAUCCUCUGAUACUGCACGCUCAAAUUUAGCUGCUCCUUCCAACCCGACUCAGUUGGACCAUAAUACUCAGGUCAGGCUAUCUUUUUGUUCUUGGUUUAGGUGUCGCAUUGUUUCCUGGCAUUUACUAAAUUGCUCAAGGCUUUGGUUUCCUUUAUAUGGUUGUAAGGUGUGAGUAAAACUCUGGUACGUUUUAUUUUGUCGAGUAACUUCUAUUAAAAUUAAGUGCUCUGGAGAAUAAUUUGAGGAAAUAUUAUUUUUACAUGAUCAGAGAAUUUUAAAAAGUUGCAGCGCAACCAACAUGAUUUUAGAUGCCUUAUAUCCUUCCCUAUUAGUAAACGAGUUUCAAGAACUUUCUCAGCAGUAGUAGGAGUUAAUUUGUUCCUCUGAUAUAAUGCUAAGCUUAGGAAUUUCAAAAGUUCAUGCAAGAGAUAUUCUUGUGUUUUUCCCUGAGUUUUGGCAUCAUGGCUAUCGGACCAUAUCAUGGACUGGUAUGGUGGUUCUUCCAUCAUCCUGCCUAUUAAAAACCUUGUGAACAUCGGUCUUUUAAAUAGUUUUACCCCGUGCACAUAAAUUUCCUUUGGAAGGACCAAAUUGAUCGCUUACUUUAGAUGUUGAGGCCAGUACUGCUCGCAUUAUACAUUGGCGAUUGCAUAGUCAUUAUCUGUCUUCCAUUCAUUAAUAGGCUGCCUCCAGGAUUCCUCCUUCUUCUGCACCGAAUGCAAGAACUCCUCCCAAGAAACCUUCUGUUGGGCAAAAAAAGCCACUAGAAGCUCUUGGAUCUUCACCGCCAGCAGCAAGGUGAAAAUUUGACAUCGUUCAUUAGUUUCGUUCUACUUUGUAUCUGCAUUGCAUUUUAUUGUAUCCUCCAAUAAUUAAAAUUUUUCUGGAUGAACGGAACCAAAAGAGUGGUUUAUUGGUUGUCGUGUCCUUCCAUACGAUGAAUUCGAGGGUUCAAUCCCCACCUCUACUAUGAGAUAAAAAAGGACUUUCUAGACCAACUCUUACACCCUCUUUCUGGAAUUUGUACAGUAAGAAGCAGAAGGUUUCUGGUGCAUUUUUGGAUUCGAGCAUUGAACAACUAAAUGAUGUCACUGCUGUCAGUGGAGUUGAUCUUAGGGUAUGCAUAUUCUCCUGUUAUCAAGCUUGACUGAUGAAUAUUAUCAAAGUGAAGAAACUGAGCUUCCAAUGUUCCUCGUAUGUGUUAUUAUAUUCUACAGGAAGAGGAAGAACAGUUAUUCUCUGCGACCAUGGAGGACGGUCGAGUUUCUGAAGCAUCUAGAAGAGUUGUACAAGAAGAAGAAGAGAGGCUGCUUUUGCAGAAAACUCCUCUUCAGAAAAAAGUGGCUGAGAUCAGUUAAUUUUCUUUCCAUCAUAUUUUCUUUUAUGGAGGUAAUGUCCAUUGUACAUAUUGGUUUACUUCUAGUUUGCGUGUCCUUGCAGUGGUCAAGUGUGGUCUGAAGAAUUUCAGCAGUGAUGUCGCAAAAUGCUUGUCCUUGGUGAGAAGCUAAAACUAUGUUUUCCAAAUUAAAUGACUCAAAUCUUACAGAUAAAUGAUUUACCGCCGAUUUUGAUUUGUCUAGAGUGAAUAUAUUUCUCCCAAAAAAUUGUCUUGUUUUCCAUUAAUUAUUGUCACCGGAUGUAAAGUAAGUGAAACAAAAUAAAAAUAAAAAUGGGGUAAUAAGUGAAGAGAGAGAAAGAGAGGGAAGGAAGAGAGAUGACAAAAUCCGGCGACAAUUAAAUUUGCUGUCACUUCAAACAAGGGGAAAUGAAAACCCUCAUAUGACAGAUUUGAGGCACAUGGAUAUUCAAAGUCUGACGGUUUUGGGUCGCGUUUUUUUAAUCGUAAAACAUGGAUUCAUUUUUUGCGAAAUCCGGCCUAUUUGUCCGCGUUUUCACGCGGUCUAAUUCUUUUACCUUCUUAUCACUUUCUUACUUGAAAAAUAUUAGACAUUUUCUAAUGAAAAGAUCUGUUUAGAGUGUGGAGGAAAGAAUGCGAAGUUUGGUCAGUAACAUGGUCAGAAUGUCUAAACAGGUAAAUUAAUGCUGAUCUCUCUGCUACUUUGGAAUUUUUCCUUCAUUCGACUUGAUGUUACUUUUUUGUGAUUCGGACUGCAUUUCUACAGAGGAUUGACUCAGAGAAAUCCAGACACAGGACAGUAGUUACCUCUGAUGUCCGGCAACAACUUAUGACAAUGAACCAGCAAGCUAAGUCUGAAUGGGAGAAAAAACAGGCCGAAGCAGAAAAGCUCUGGAGAGUAAAUGAAGUAGGUUCUUUAAUCUGCAUGUUUGUGAUGGGUCUUCUUAAUGAUUCUUUCUAAAUUUCAUUGCUAAACGCCAUGGUGGAUCGUCAUUCGUAUGUCUCUAUGAUUGAUAUGUCAAUGUAGCCCGAGGCUGAUGGUGGAUCCGAAGCUGACAGGGACAAAGACGAUGCGAAAGGAAAAGCCAGCAAGGUAUUCAUCAUUUACACCAUAUUGCCAAUAAGUGGAAGUUCCAUCCAACCGUACCAUGAAUGAAUGUUCUGAUACAUAGGUGAACAAAGAGGAGGAUGACAAAAUGAGAACAACUGCUGCAAAUGUUGCUGCCCGAGCUGCUGUUGGGGGAGAUGACAUGUUGUCGAAAUGGCAACUCAUGGCCGAGCAAGCUCGGCAGAAACGUGAAGGGGUUCCAGAUUCUGCAUCCUCUUCUCAAUUCGCGUCAGAUGGAAGCCAUAAGCCUCAGACGUUGUCUGGAAGGAACAACAAUCAAGACGGACAAAAGAACUCUGUUUCUGCAUCCUGUACGUUUGACAAAAUCAUCAUAAUUCACAUGCUUGCUUCUGUAUCUCGGUCUUUUUUACUGUUUUAUUGUUGGAUAUUGUCAGGGAGUGGUAGAAACCUUGGGAGGAACAGCGGAGCAGCAGCUCAGUUGAGGGAGGAUCGGACUUUAUCUAUCAAGGAUGUGAUUGCAGUGAUGGAACGAGAGCCCCAGUUGUCGAAGUCUACGUUGAUUUAUAAACUCUAUGAGAAGAUUCGGUUGGAUCGGCCACCCGAAUGAUAUUUCUGAAUCUGGGUGGCUUCGGUUGAUGUGGUUAAAACCCCAGUUUGGUGCUUCAGCUCAUUUUGAUUUAUGGGAGCUGCCCACACCCCCCACCCCCAACAGCUGCAACUACUUUUGCCAACUAUGUAGUUUGAGAAUAGGAUGCAGUAUUUGUUUUGGUAGCACCUAGUCGGUCUGAAUGUGCUUGCUGAGUUUUGCAAUAGACUCUGGCAAGGGAAAUCUACGUCUGCAAUCUUGGCAACUGUGUCAAAUGGUUUUCGCUCGUGUCCCUUUUAGGAUCAUAUUGUGGAAAACUUGUGGAAUUUUUUUCCAGAAUCUAUCUAUUUUCUGUGUGUUUUCGCAGUCUAUUAUUAUCCGGCUAAAAGGGUAAAUUCAAAAUCCGAUCACGAAUGAAUUUGGUUGUCACAUUUUGCCUGUUUAGCCAAAUAGGUGGAGGCUGGUAAAACCUGACGAGUAGACAGACAACUACCGACCCUGUAUUCACCUACUGGAAAAGAAAAGAACCAAAAGAGGAAGCUCUGCAACAACACUUAAUUGAUUGAAUCGUUACAAACAAUACUACACACCUACAAGCAAAAAUGCACUAAAAACUCAACGUUGCUUUGGUAAAGAAUUUGCACCUUCUUGAGCAGUCCAAUAAGUUUUGACUGCAAUCAGGAUUUUCUCAGCGUUAAAGGGUCCACUCUCAUGAUCCAUAAUGCGACUCUUCCAUUUCAUUCUGUUCGUAAUGCUCUGUACCUUCACCAACACCUCUACCGUAUCCCUAAAUACGACCGUCCCUUCCGGCCUCAGAAUUCGAUCCAUCUCCAGCAAGAUCACGGCAAUGUCGCACCUGUCUUGGUAGAUGCUAAAGACAUUACCAGCAUGGAUGAGGUCGUACGUCCUGGGAUAAGUCGAGAAUGCCUCGCACCAAUCUUGAUACGUACCGACGAACCCUCUCUCGUAGAUGGCUCCGAGGGUGUCGUGGUUCGAGUCGGAAGGGACCACGUUCAUGACCCAAACGGGGUAUUUGAUCAAUGCGGCUGCGAAACCCCCUAGGUAAGCGUUCAUGUCCAUGACGUUACGGUACCACCCUUGCACUAAGGGGUUGACGAUUUGCUUGUAGUGGUUUAGCCUCUCCUUCCAGACUUCGUUGUCUUCCUUGAACUUCUCGGCUGUGAUUCCCGGUAUCGUACCUGUUUGGAGAAAAUGUAAAUAGUUUGUAAAAACUAAAGAGGUCUCGAACAGUACAUUAGAGAGAAGACUCCUGCAACAAUACCCCUAGCGAUCCUAGGCGGGACUGAAAAGGCACGUGCCGGCCAUUUCUCCAGCGCGCCUCCGGCAACUUGGUCUCCAGAGUCGUCGUUUACCUCCGGGAGUGGAGUUAUGCAAGUUUCCAUGUUCUUGUACCUGUUAUAACAGAUACAUUUGAUCAUGAGCUAAAAUCUUAGGUCACGUUUUCUGCUCCUCAAUCACCAAUUCCGGCCGGAAUUAUGAAAGCUGCUGGAAUUUGGAUUCAAGGCCCAAUCUGCCGGAUUUGACAAUUACCUACCUCCCCAAAGCAGCUCUCAGCGGUUGGAGUUAAGCAGAAUUAAAUCCCCAAAUCCGAUGGAAUUGAAGAUGUUGUUUUAUGAGCGCAAAAAACGUAUUCAGUGGAAUUGACCUUAAAAUUCGGCCAAUUCCGGAGCGGGAAACUACCCUUGGUAAAAUAGAUCAAUGUAUAUAUAUAUACACACGUACCAUGAUGCAUCAGGAUUGUCGGACUUGCACAUGUGAGGAGUCUUGUACACCUUGCGAUUCCGAACACAUUCGAAGUGGUUAAUGGGUUUCUGCCAAAUCAAGAGAUCUUUCUUCUCCGCCACUUUCUUCCAGCAAAGCCGUUUGGCGACAUCCUCAAUGGCGUCCUGUUCGUGUUUGAGAUCCUGCUGACUUCUUUCCCACCCUUUCCAGUGCGUCUUCCAGUUAAUUGGUGGCCCAGACAGAAUCCAGUAGCCACCUGGUCUCAGUACCCUGUCCACUUCAAUUAAAUACAGCCCAUCUGCAUGUGUGGAACACGUAUAUUCAUAAUUAGAAACUGAAGUCAUAUUCGUUACACUGAAAUUUGAACUUCGUCCUCUUUAAGUGUACUGAAAUGACCAUAUCGUCCUUUGUAAAUUGUUUUAUUAAUCCGAACUCGAUGCCAAGCCUACUAGGUAUAAUAACUCGUUCGUGAGCUUGUGGAAUCGGGAACUGAAAUGAAGUUACCGUUACUAAACCAAGGUAUCAAGCAGCGAGAGCAGUGAGCCAUGUCGAAAGCCCUUGCAGGAUAAGGAAGCCUCUGGGAUCCCAUUACACCAAUCAUAGCUGGAACUCCCCUCUCCAAUGCGAACUGUACCUGCGCUUCGUGGGUAUCCCUUGGCGCAAAUGACAUCGCCAGGAUGUCCCUCUUCAGCAAAUAUGCCCCCCAACUCGCCACCUGCAUCACAAGACAUUCGAUCUUAUCGUGAAUGAUACACAAAUAUAGGAAACAACAUUAAAGAUUCACGAUUCAGAUUUUCACGUUAGUUAUUUAUUAGUUUGCGAGACUUACGCCACAACCAGUGUCGACUGCAGUACGGAUGGUGCCUCCGGUAAGAGGGAUGAGAUAUUUAAUGUCAUCAAUAUAAGCAUCGGCGCCACGGGGAAACAUAGUGCCACCUCCGGGGAACUUGAACCUGUCCCCCUCAACUUGGAUCCAAUUCUGAACGGCCUUCUCAAUGCUCAGCUCUUUGUGAGGAAUGUUGUCGUACCAUGCAUAGUCGCGGCUCUGAGGCCAUUUGAAAGGCGUCUUGUAAUUCGGCGGAGCCGGUAUCAGGCAGAACAAGAGCUCUUCUUUGGCAGGGCAAUGCCUCUCCCUGUAUUUCAUCAUGUCCCUGUCGAACUUCCUCCCCCUCGGCGGGUACUGGCAAGGGGUGUACUCGCUGUACGACAUCUCACAUGGUGGGAAGUCCUCAGUUUUUUUUUCAGAGUUUUCGAUCUCGAUCUGGUGAUGUGGUUCAAAGUCUAACCUGCCGACUGGAGGUGAUGAAGAAGAAUUGGUGUCGGGGUCGCAACUGGCUUUGGUUUGUACCGAGAACGGGGUGGAGGAUGGCACGGUGGUGGUGGUCCGCCAAGAUCCUAACACGUAGAAUAGUACACAGAGGCCGGUCACCCCGAGGAUAAAGCUCAGGCGCUUCCUUCUCGAUUCUAGUUGGUGUGAUGAUCCACCAUGGUCCUUUCCUCCCAUUUUAGUACUUGCUUCUUUUCACACAUUACAAACCAUGAAAACCAGAGUGAUCAAGUCGGAAGGAAAUGAGUAGAAUAGAACGAGUGACUGACUGGGAAGACAGAGAAAUUUUGUUCAUGUAUUAGCCUCAAUUCUCACUCUCUUCUUCACAUCUAGCUUACCUCUCAAUCUCCUCUAUUUCCCCCUAGCCUUUUCUUACAAACUUUGACCACUUCCUACUAAACUGCCUUAUUAACUGGAUCUCUUCUCUUCCAUCCACUUUUCUUCUUUACUAUUUCAGGAACUCACAAAGUCACAGUCCAAUUUCUGUCAAAUACGAAUUUUAGUUUAUUAACUACCAUUGUUCCUUGAAACAUUAAUUAAUUAAAGUUACAGAUAUAUAACAGCAAGAAGGGGUUUUUUGUAGUUGGACUUUUAAAUUUUUAGUUUGCUUUUAAGAGUUUUUUUUUAGUUGGUUUUUACUUUUGAGAUUUUAGUUGGUUUUCAAUGUAAUGCAUUUAAGACUUUUUUGUUAGUUUUCAUUUAAUUAGUUUAUAUUUAAGAUUUUUUAUUUAGCAACGGUACGAUUUGCGUUGGAUGGUUGAUAUUUUCCCGCCAUUUUAGUUUCGGGUUCGAUGUAUUACCAUCCUAAAUAGCUUUUCGAAUAAUAAAUUGGUCAAUUUGCUCUUAAGACAUUUUAGACUUGACAACGGUUAGAUUGUGUCCGGAUAAUAAAUAUUUGUUUUCCAUCCAUUGUUAUGAAGGAUUUUGUUUUAUUCUCUACUUAAUGGUGCCAACAUGCCCUUGUGGUUUUUUUAAAGUUAGUUUUUAAGAGUAUUCAAUUAGUUUCUAAUGCUAAUAAUUUUAACUUUGGUGGUUAUUAAUGGAUGUUUUAGAGUUUUUAAAAAAUCGCCCUGACAAUUAUAAAUUGCUUGAUUACAUGUUAUUAAACACAUAAUCUCAAAAUCUAAUUCUCUCAUUUUUUUCCAAACGAAUCUCUGAUAAUCAUCCGUCAAUCCAAUCAUCGUCGCGGAUUAUUGCCGGUCGCCGGCCAACAUUGAUGGUCAACUUUUAAAAAAAAAUCCCAAGACACUGUUGGAUAGACGACCAGACUGUUUAUGCGGGAAUGAUCUCGCAGUUGCUUUGUUAAGUAUUUACUAUAUGUCGGUUUUUGCAACUGCAAUUGCUCAUUGUCUAUAACAAAAUUUUCCCAGAUAUCUCCGGAAUGUAAACUCUACAAGAUUAAAAAUAUAUGUAUAACUACAAUUUUAACAAUAACUCAAAACCCAUGUAUUUUUUGCUAUUUGUAAUAUUAUAUAGUUUCAAGGAAGUGAAUUAAUAUACUCUACAUAAAUUAAUUUUAUUAGUAUGAAAUUCAACUAAAUAUAUAGUCUAACUUACAUUACCAACUUUAUAUACAUCACUAUGACAGACGGUGAGCAAAUGUAUACUACAUAUUAACUAAUGGGUAAGGGGCAACGCACAAUAAAAAAAACUAGUCUUAAACUAAUAGUAGUGAUUAGUAUAGUUGGUUUUGGCACAUAUAUAGGCAGGUAGUAUCUUACAGAUUUUCCUUCAUCCAUAUAGUCCGUACUGUUUUAUGUACAGGAUCUUGGUUCAAGGAUUAUAGUUCACUAGAUCUAAAGAGUUUGAUCAUUAAAUCUAGAGGUCUAUAUUAAAAUGUUAUUUGGUUCGUUUUAUUUAAAUCAUUUUAAUUUGUGUAUUCAAAGGCACUGCCACCGGCGAGUUUCCGGUGACUUUUACAGCGAAUCGACACGCUGUGGCUUUUCCGGUACAUUUGCUUUCAGAUUUAUGUAUCUGGGUUUGCAUAAAGUUUGAAGUUGUUUCUGAGAUGCCUGUGUUUGAACCAUCUGGUGUCAUCAUCUCAGUUAAAAUAGGACUGAAAACAGGUUGCAACAAAAGAACACUGAAAGUAAACAUCAGUGUUUAAGAUUGAUCUUGCCGAGUUCAAUUACUUCAGAUCUGCUGAGUUGACUGACUACUUGGAAUGCUCUUGUUAGCCGGCCGGCAUGCCUUGGAUGACAUUGUCUGGCUUCACCAAAUGUAUGAAAAUCGUGGUUAGUUCAUUUUGCUAUACGAGCAAGUUCUCGAGCAUCAAAGGGAAGACUUAUAACUGUUACAAUCUGCAAGCUGUUCUGCUGACAAAAGAACCAAUAGCUAGGAAACCAUUGCAGAAGGGUUUACACUCUCAGGACGAACUCUUGCACUGCUGCAAUAAAGACCAUUCGAGUAAAGGACAGUAAGCAGAUCCUCACUGCAAAGAUAACGAGAACACAGUUUGCAUUGAUAGAUUGAAUAUUUACAUCAACUGUACUGUAGCUGCAAGAUCUUCGAAUUCAAUGGAGCUUACACAAAAGAAACUAGCUGAGAACACAUUUGUUAACGUUGAGAAAAGACAGCAGCCUCGAGGCGUGCUACCCGAGCCUUAAGCAUUUCUAACUCACGUACAAUAUCCGCCUUAUUCACAAUGUUCGGGAAGGCGCGCGCUGAGGCGACUAAAAGGCCGAGGCGGCGUCCUCCUCGCCUCUCGGCUGAGGUGACGAAAUAAGGCAAGGCGACGGCGAGGCGUUGAGUAAUCGACGGCAAGGCGUUGUCUAAACGCCAAGGCCCUGAGGAGGCGGUCAACGCAACGCCUAAUUGAGGGCGAAAUUAAAAAAAAAAUUCAAUUACUUAGCUGAAAAUUGAAGGACCUAAACCUAAUCGUAUCUCCGCCUUCCCGAACAUUGCUCUCANNNN
Molecule: long non-coding RNA, 71820 nt
Filed under: Linum usitatissimum (flax)
Lineage: Eukaryota; Viridiplantae; Streptophyta; Magnoliopsida; Malpighiales; Linaceae
Description: long non-coding RNA (LUSI_LNC006625)
Source: RNAcentral